UGUUUCAAAGUCAUAACUUUAAAGAAGAAGUAUUCUUUUCAUUUCCAAAAUUAAUAUAUCAUAUAUAUUUUAAAUUUUAGGAACAUGAUUAACUCCCACUAAUCUUUUGUAAACCUAGUAAACAAAAGAUUCAUUUACAUCUUUAUGAGAAAUCAAACAAUUUGAACUUUCUCUCAUAAGAUGCAUAUAGCUCCCACUAGCUUGCUAAGAUUCAUGAUGGUUGGAUCUCUACAACUUAUAUGUCUUGUGAUUCAUAGUUUUAGACAUAUAUAUUAUCAAGACUAUCUUAAUAAUGGUUUCGGAAACCCAUAUAAUGUCCAAACAUUGAAUCACCAUUUAGUUGUAGCUAGCUAUCUUCGAAUUAAUUGAAACCAAGACUACGUCAAAAAUGGUUUCUUCAAAGUCAACCAUCCUUUUGAUUGUAGUUACCUUAAGCUACCAAUUAGCUUAUGAAGGUUUCAUUAUUUCGGGUCAAAUGGUACUUUACCAUUUCCUUGAGUAUAUAUCGUAUAUACACUCAAUGUAGUCAUAAGGAUUUUCAUUCUUAUUUCUUUCAAAUUAAGAGGUGUAACUCUAUGACAUAGUCAUAAAGUUCAAACCAUUCAACUUUGACGGUUUAUAAAUCCUUCUCGACUACCUUGGAGCUUGUGGUAUAGGAACUAGGUUGUUAUAUUUGUUGAUUACUUUCUUGUCUCUCAAAGAACCCAUUCUUUGAGUUCUAUCUCUCGUUCAUUUGCUUUUAGGCAAAUCACAUUUUAGGAUUACAAUGAACUACCCAACAAAACAACAUUUGUUAGUUGGUUUAUAGAAGCGAUAUCCAAAAGUUAAUUUAAGGAUAUCCCACAAGAUUGUUAUCAAACAAAUAUUGCUUAUUAGCACACAACCCCAAAUCUUAACAUGCUUGAGAUUUGUCUUUCUUUCCAACUACAUCUUAUGGAGUCAUGAAAAAUUUGGAAGAUCUUCUAAUUGACAAUCAUAUUGUUUUAGAAGUAUAUAUCCUAUAUACGGGCAAUAGAUAACAUCCAACGAACUAAAUCUUAUUUAAGUUCGUUCUUCUCAUUAUGUAGAAAUCUAUUAUCUUAUGAUGCUUAUUUCCUUGAUAUCUUUCAAGGAAACUGUUCUAAAGUGUUACCUUAUCUUGGAUCGAAUCUAAGGAGGUAAAUACUUUAGACGUCUUACUCAUCAACUUACAUACUUGAAUUCUUUGAAAACUUUUGCAAAGUAUUCGGACUUGUGUUUAUUCAAAAUAAACUAUAGUCCAACCGAGAGUGAUCUUCGGUGAAUGUCAUACAACAUGAGUAGUAUUAUGUUUGUGGACAAGUGCCACUAACAUCUAAGUGAAUUAACCUCAACAACUUUGUGAUUCUUUCUUCUUUCCAAAAGAAUAAAGAUUCGAACAUUUCGCCUCUAUACAAUUUUAACAAGAAGGUAUUGGAUCCGGAUCUAACGAUCCAAAGCAUCCAUCUAUGACCAACUCGUAAUUUAUGUUUUAGAGGUAUCACAACUUUAGUUGGGAUUAGUCACUACCUUGCAACCUUUUGGGUUUUAAGCAUCAUUAUAUUCUAAACAGUUAACACUACCAUAUCAUCUCUACUAUAGAGACACAAUCAAUUAGAUUACUAUAAUCUAAUCAUUGAUUAAUAAAGAACAAUGUUUUGUCAAACAAAACAUUCAUCCAUCUCUACUAUAGUGACGGAAUAAGUUCCUUAAAAUUGGAAUGUAAAGACAAUCUUUGGUUUUUCCAAUUUCUUUGGUAGUUCAUAUGAGGAAGUAAGUACUAUCUGCUUUCGCAGAGAUCUAUAUUUUAUUCACGUUCCGAAUGUGAAGCACCUUUUCUUCUCUCAUAUAUCUUUUACUUCUUAUUAGUCACACUUUUACAACGAUUGUAAAACAUAGUUACUAAUACGGAAUCAAGCAUUCAAGUAGAAGAACCAACUGUUUUGAACUAUUCAAGAACAAUUUACAACACCUUCGAAAGGUGUGUUCUUGACACUUGCAAGACAUUUCUUGCAAAUACCCCUUCCAAUGUCCAUCCUUUCAUAAAGAAAGUUUGUUCCCUUGGAGUUAAUUUCGCUUUCUUCAUUAUUUGACUUUCACCUUUGACUACAUUAGUCAUGGUCCCUAAACUCCCACUAUCUCUCUUGAAACUUAUUUCAAUUGUGUUAUACACAUCAAACAUUUUGGAGAGCAUGUGUUUAUUGUUCACUAUAUAGUUUACAAUAAACUUAGUGAACCAUUAGGAUAGGGACACAAAGGUGAAGUCCUUGCCUAGUUUCCGUCUCGUUAAGUGGUUUAUCACUUCAACACUCAAUGAUUCAAAAUCAUCAUAAGUCCAUGUUGAUGGACUAUUUUUGUCAACCAACCAUUAUGUUCUAAACAUAAUUACAAACUUUCAAGAGUUGUACAAGGCAACUCUCAUUUCUUCAUACAACAAUUUGUAAGUGAAGAAUCAUGGCACACUAAGUGUCCAUGCCUUUGUGCUUUCUUCUCAAGUUCCUUGUUCAUGUAACAAAGAAACAAGCACUAAUGUUUGCAUUGAUUAAGGGUUGUUCAAAGCAACUCUUAUUUCUUCAUACAACAAAUUGUAAUUGAAGAAUUAUGACAUUAAAAGUGUUGUCCUCUUUAUGAUAGACUUUAUCUAACAUGUUCUUCCAAUGAUACAUUAUCAAUAGGAAGAUUGUGAGGAUGAGACUACUUAGGUACUUCUACAAUCCAUUUAAGACAAUCUUUGGGAUUGUUGUACCAAGUCCGGAAACUAAAGCAUUCGGCUUUUAUUUGUCAAGUGUUGGGAUAGCGUUUGCAAAUAUAAUGGUAAGUAAAUACAUAACGAAUAUAAAUUGAUUGAUUUUAAGCCAUUUGAUUCGGGUCUUUAAAUCAAAUAGCACCACCCACUAUUUUUGGCAAAUUCCAUAUCCCUCAUUGGAAUUCGAGAGUUUUGGAUGAAACUCUUAGUAGGGUAUGGGAGACUCACUACUACCAAGCCCACCUCACAAUGAUAUGAUAUGUUGGCUAGCAUUAAUAAUAAUGAGAGAGUACGCUUACUCAUUUGCAUCACUUGCAAGUACCCAUCUUAUUUGGCCUCUAGAGAAUGUCACCUCACAAUGAUAUGAUGUUGGCUCCAUUGCACUUAGUUAAGUCAUUCCCACCAUGCUUAGUUCGUGAAGGGGUUCAAGAAUAGCCUCACGAUGAUACGAUGUCGGCCAUCCUCGUUGCCUAUACUCACCUCAUCAAGUAUGUAUAUAGACUCCUCCUGAGUAUAAGCAUGCACUUUGCACUCCCCCAUGAUAGGGUGAAGGCCGGUGUACAAGUCAUAAACGAUUGGAGCCUACCACGGUGGAAGGCCACGAAAGAGUGUUCAAAGCACUCUCACGCUUAUCAACUUAAUAAUGGUUUGGUUGAGGGUUUUAGGUCUCAUCACAUAUAAAUAUUCAUUUUAAUCUCUAUUAAAACAAUUUUGGUCCUAUUACAACUAUUGGUCCAUUUGAUUGUUUUAGUUGUAUAUAAUACUCCCACUAUGCUUAUAAAACGGUUUUUAAAGCAAGAGUAUAUGAUACUACUAACAAAAGGUUUGCAUUCAUUUGAUGGACUAUAUAGUUGCCUUAGGGCCUUAGGAUGAUUAUGAACCUUUGUUUAGAUUCAACACGAGCCUAGUGUUGAAUCUCGGUCUAGGGAUGGUGAUUGAUUUUAGUUACGCGUUUAAUCACAUUAAGGCGUGUUGUCUUAGGGGCGUUGGACCCAACUACUUCAUUUUCAUGCAUAUCAAAUAAAGCAAGAAAGAAGUACUUCAAAGUAAAGGUGAGCUUAUGCUCAUUACAACAUUUGCAUAAAUCAAAUUACCUUAAAGUAAAGAAGGGCUUAUGCCCUUUUACAACAUUUGAUCAAAUCAAAUUACAACCAAAAUCUAAUCUACACAUUCCCAUGGUUCAAACAAAUUUGAAACGGCCUUUCACAUAGCUCAAUUAUAUUAGGCUUAGGUUCAUAUUCACCCCUUAAUUAAUUAACACUUUAACUAAUUAAAUUGAAUGCAACAUUUUCAUUUGGUUUUUGUAUCCAUAAAAUUGAUUUAAAUGGAGCUAAAUGAAAUGAAAAUCCAAUUCUCAUUUAAAGAGACAAAACAAUUUUGUUCUCAACCUUAUUUGGGCCAUCAUGCAAUAACCACAACUUUUUGGGUUAUAAAGCAAUUAACCUCAACUUUUGGGCUAUAUUGCAAAACUUUUGGGGUCACUUUGUAAAAACACAAAAGUCCACUACUUCAUGUAAUUACAACUAGAACCCUAAAUUUUAAUAAUGCAAAAACUUCAUUAAAGGAGCAAAACAAUUUGUCCUUUAGCGUUUUUGGACCUAAACGUAAAAGCGUAAACUUUUGGGCCAAAGUGCAAAUACACAAAAGUAUCAAAACUUUAUGUAAUUGCAUAAAAGCCCCAAAAGUACCCUACAUGUAGGGUGGCCGGUUUUUGGAGAGGGAUGUGAGUGAUGUGUGUGUUUUUGAUUUGUGAGUUUUGACAUAAAGCAUGCAAGUGCAAGUGGUGUGUGUGAAAGGGAAUUAAAUCCUUUUCACACCCACCAUUAUUUCUAUCACCAUUUAAACAAAUAUCUAAAACAUUUAAACAUUUGAAAAACAUAAAACAUAAACUUUAUGAAAUAAAUCAAAACUUUGAAUCAAAACACAAAACUUUUUGUUCUUGGCAAAAAUGUCAAGAACAAUGAAGAACAUUCAUGAAAAACUCAAAAAUUUCCAUGAACAUUUUUCACCCAAAAACAUCUCAAAACCAUUCAAACUUUAGGGAAAUAACAUAUAACCAAACUAGGGUACUUAGGGGUUCCAAAAGUCACUUUAAAACACUUUUAACAAGUCAAACAAGAACCCAAAAAUCCACCCUUUGGAUUUGGCCGAAAAUUCCCAAAAGCAUGGCACCAAAUUUUAGCUCCAAUAUUCAUGCUCAUAUGAACUACAUCUACAACAUUUGAGAUGGCAAAUUUUCUAACAAAAUUUACAUUCAAAGAAACAAGAAUAAAGCUUGUAACAUAUUACAACUUUUAAAUCACAAACUAUGAACUACAAAACCCAAAAGGAUUCACCAACUACUAGACCUAGGCUCUGAUACCACUUGAAGGAUGAUUUUGUGAAAACAUGUUCAUUUGAAUAACAUCUAUAGCAUGCAUUUAACAAUUAAAAGGCGGAAUCAUGCUUGCAUGCACUUAAAAAACAAAACAUUACCCAUGAAAUUCAAAGCCUAGUAGAUUGGUGAACCAAGACUCAACUCAAAAUCAAAGUGAGUUGAGAAAUAUAUACCUUUGUAGAUUCCUCUUUGCAUAAGCAAAGGCUAAUCACCCAAAGAGAGGGCCUUCAUUCCUUGCAUCUUAAAAUCUAUGGAUUUGGAUGGAAGAAUAUGGUUCUCCAAGUUCCCAAAAUUGAGAACCUCUAAGUAUCCACACCAAGGUUAAGAUUUGAUGAAGAAAUGAGUGACCUUGGAGUAGUGGGAUUGCUAGAUACACCCUUCCAAGGGGGCCGGCCUUUUAGAGAGAAAGGAGAGCAUUGUGUUCUCUCCAAUUUCCUAAAAGAAAACCCUAAAUGAAUUUUGGCUAUAAGUCAUAUUUAUACCUUUAUUCAUUGGAGUGGCAAACUUGUAAUUAAAGUCCAAGUUCACUACCCUCCUCUAAAAUGGCCGGCCAUAGGGUUUUGUUUGGGCUUUUUGGGCCUUUGUGAAUUAAGUUGUCAUACAACUUAAGUCAAUGGGCUUGACGUUCGAAGCCCAUUGGGCCUUAAGGUCCAAAAACUAUCCCGAGGUCUUAUAACGAACUUAUUCGUUUGAUUAAUUAACAUAUUAAUUAAUCCUUGCCAUAAAUAAUUAAACCAUUUAAUUAUUCUUACUCAUCUCCAUUGUUUCUUCAAUCUCCACCUUACACGGUGUACGAUCCAUUAGGUUCCUUUUAGCGAGGCAGUGGGCGAUUAAAACUCUUUUAAAAUCGAUUGUGAAUUGAAACUUGCUUUCAAUUCUCCCUUUAGUGUUUAUACACGUUUAGGGCUUCCACAAACCAAGAGUGACACCUAGCAGCAUAUCAUGGUUACCCAAGCUAAUCAGAAGAGGUAGAGAACAUAUUCAGUUUAGGAUUACAAAUGCAAUACGGUCUUUCUCUAAUACAAUACUCUUGACCACAUUGUUUGGUUUGAUAGUUUAUUCAUGUCUACUAUCCAAUGUGAUUCGUGUGCUUAUAUGAUUACCUUGAAUGUGAUUUAGAACGACUUUUCUAAAUCUCAUUCAUACUCUGGCCAGAGAUUCUUAAUCAUAUCAUAGAGUAUUCUCCCCCAAACGGUUUGAAGGUUAGAGAUCCCUUGUUGCACAUUCACUUGCCUCCAUAGCUAAGUGGCUUAACCCCAACGAUGCCGUGGACACCCGCGGAUGGGGUGACUUUGACAUAAUCAAAGAUCAAGGACUUAACCACAAGACAAACGUGAUGCCUCAGGUCAAAAGACUACUUUGCAUUAUCCCAACCAUGAGUUCUCAUGUGACAUGAAUAUGAGAACUCUUCGUUGAUCGUGUUCAGUGAACUCAUUCUCUAUUGAGCACCUACGUACUUGUCUUGAUGUCACACACACCAAUGACUCGAGACUAGUCACUCUCCCUGAGAGAAUACACAGCACGUACUGAUCUUAACAGACUGUCAAUGCCCAAUUGGCAAUCCUAUGAUCAGGAACGUUUAGGAUGUGUCUACGAAAGAAUGGUCUCAUGAAUCUAACUUCUUUAGAUCGCAUUCUCCCAAUCACGUAUUCCUUGGACUUAUCGUUUAAGCAUAUAACAUUUAUAUGAGACGGCUUAAACAAUAAUAUUUGCCCUUGAUAUUAAACUAGAUUAGUUUAACAUGUGAAAUGUCCAUAAAGUAUCAUCAUAUGAUUGGUUUUAGGGCACAUUUCCAACACGUGGCAGAAGUGCUUAGGAUCCUUCCCUCAGUGGUUGCGAGAACGGCUUGUUCCUUGCUUGAUGUCAUUGACUUUGAGGUGUGUUUGGAUUCCUUGAACGGAGAAAGAGAUGAGAGGUAGAGAUUGUCCCACUAAGCGUGCCAAAUUUGUGAACACGAAAAUUUCCUGAAAGGAAAGAGACAAGAACAACGUGCGCAAAAUAAUAUUUGUAUUUGAUGAUUUUGGGUUACAAUCUCUCUCAACUUUGAUGCUCUGAUUCGAUCUCCGUAAGGUGUUGAUUUGUGGAUGUGCGAUUGAUCCAAAGGGCUGUUGGGCUUGAUCUAAGGAUGAACGUUCUUCAAGCGCCGUGGGCUUGAUCUUGAAAGUGGAUUUGAGCGGAUCUUCAAGGAGUCGCUAGGGCUUGAUCUUGAGGAUGAGCGUUUCUUCAAGGGCCGUUGAGGUUUGAUCUUGAAUAACGGUGAUGAACAGAUCUUCAAGGGGGCUUUUGGGCUUGAUCAUGAAGAACGAUGAACGAAGAACGAAGAGAGCUUUCUUGAUUCUUCGGGAUGAACGGAUGAUGAACGAUGAACACUUUAUUCAACGGCCGUCGGGGCUUGAUCUUGAAUUGGUGGAAGUUCUUCAAGGGCCUAUGGGGCUUAAUCUUGAAGGUGGAUGAUUGUUGAUCCAAGGGCCGUCGGGGCUUGAUCUUGGAAGAACAAUGAACGAAGAACGAAGAAGGCUUUUUUGAUUCUUCGGGAUGAACGGAUGAUGAACGAUGAACACUUUCUUCAAGGGCCGUCGGGGCUUGAUCUUGAAUUGGUGGAAGUUCUUCAAGGGCCUUUGGGGCUUGAUCUUAAAUUGAUGGAAGUUCUUCAAAGGGGCCAUCGGGGCUUGAUCUUGAAGGUGGAUGAUUGUUGAUCCAAGGGCCGUUGGGGCUUGAUCUUGGAAAACGAUGAACGAUGAACGAAGAACGAAGAAGGCUUUCUUGAUUCUUCGGGAACCUGGAUGCUUGAGAGUUUCGGAGUUUCAGAGCUUCAGAGCUUCAAGGUGUAAUAUGAAUUGAUUAAAAAAAAUGAAUGAAAUUGGCUUCUAUUUAUAGAAUUUUCCAAGGCCUAAUUUUGAAUAUAAUAUUCCAGAUGAAAUAAGUCGUUUCUGCCAGGUGUUGACACAUGUCCUGUUUGAUGACUUUUCCGAUGAUUCUUGAUUUUUUGUUUAGACACACGCUACGUGUAAAAUUUAUGUAAUACAUGAGCGUUGAAACUUUGAUUUAUCGGUCAAUAUUUAUUUACUGAAAUUUCGAUGUCUACAGGCUUAAAAGGCCUAGUGUUGACUAGAACAAUGGAGAAGAACGCCGUAGACUUCCCAGCUCCGGCCGACUGCAAACCACGACCCUAGACUCUGAUCUAGGUAUUGAAAUGAAGCACAAGAUGAGAGGAGUGUGUUUAUACCUUCCUUUUGCCGUAGAAAGGUCGGAGACGACCGGAAAAUCCCUCAACUCACACGGGUUCGCCGGAGAUGGGUGAGCUCUCAUCUGAGUCGAUUUUGUUCUAAAAACCUUAGAAAAAUAACGAGAUAACAUUCAAAAUCACAUCCAAGUUUCAAUCUAGAAUAGGUAGAGGGAGAUCCGAGGUUUAUCUAAAUGGAAAAAUUGAAGAAAUCUCUCCGGAGAGCUCUGAGGUUUCCUCGAGUUGUGCAGCGACAUGAGAGAGAGAAAAGACGAGGUUUGAUGAUGAUGAUGGUUGUCUUCCUCGUGCAGGUAAGCAGUUGGGUGUGCGUGCGUGCGUGCGUGUGUUUGUGUGUGUGUGUGUGUGUGUGUGUGUGUGUGCCUGUGUAUGUCUCAAUGAAAGAGGGAGAGAAAGCAUAGACAGAAAGAAGAAGAAUAAAAAGAAGAAGUCACAGGGGUAGGGGAGAGAGAGAAAUGUGAGGUUUGUUAGGGUGCUGCCACGUGGCAGUUUGAGGGAGUUUAGGAAUCUAGAUAAAGGGUCCAGAUUUAGUCAAGUUAGGGGACCAAAAUGAAAUUUUCAAUAAAACUUUGGGAAAUUAUAAAAUUACAUAUAAAUUCGGGGGUGGGGUUUAACAAUCUACCCCCCUUAAAAGAAUUUCGUCCUCGAAAUUUAAAAUCACUUACUAAACUGAAAUACUCAAAAAUAGGAAGAAGAAUAUAUGUAUACGUAUAAAGAGAAAUCAAGUCAGACUAGGUGCAUCAAAGAGAAUAUGCCACACCGUCGCGAACGGGUUGCAAAAUCCUCUAUCAUGCCUCCAAGCUCUUACUUUCUUCCCCAUCAAUGUAAAAGUAGAAACAUACUUAUAAAGAUAUAAAGUCGAAAACAUAUAUUGACGUAGGGUCAAAAGUACGUACGCAAAAUACGAUAGCAUCAAAAUAAAUACGUACUAACAUAUAGGUUGAAACCUCGUGCUUAACUUAAAACUGAAAACAGAAAUACUUUCCCCCAAAACAUUUGUAACGUCUAAAACAAAUAUAUAACUAUAAUAAGAAAAUUUACAAUAUUUAAACUGAAAAUCGAAAAUCGAAAAUGGAAGUGGGUCUCGCCCAAGAAUUCGUAUCCUCAAGUACUCUGAGAACAAACGUGUUUUUGGGUUGAGCCCCAACAAUAACAAAUUUGUAACCACUGCUGAAGAUGGGUCUUCCUGCCUAAUUGCUUAACGAACCCAACGAAUAAGCUAUUGAUAUCACAGUCUGCAGCCCGCGAUAUCGACAACACAUUGUUGUCUCAAUAAGCAAGCAAUAAUUUUCUGAGGGUGAACAAUUUCACAUGUCGUAAAUUCGAUCCUCCAAAUACAAGCUAGCACAAAACUCCUUUAUCAACCAGUGUUGCAUGUAGCAACUUUUGUACCAUGUCGCAACUAGUGCCAUAGUUGGUGGGAAGAAGAACGACUCGCAAAUGAUCAACCUAAAAACAAAAGAGAGCACACACCUUUUGAGAGAGGUGUAAAGAUUAUCCAAUUCUCGCCUUAACCGUGCUGUAGUGCCAUCCCAGAGUGCACCAAACAGAUCCGCUAGAAGUGUUUCAACAUUCACAUACUCACAAACAAAAAGUCCUGGAAUGAAGCUGUGAAAAUAUGCGUUGAGACGAACACAUAACGUCGGAAAAGAACCGAUGAUGCCUAUGAAUUAUAGUAAGAUGGUGAUACAAUCCACUGACCUUCUGUACUAAAACCUUCAUCCAACUCUUACUAAAAGACCGCUCAAAUCUUAUGGCCCAGUGAUCGCGAACCGAAGGAUCCUGGUGCGAGGUAAUGGAAAGCUGUGUUGAGGUGAACUCAUCACAUUAUCAAAAAGGUCUACCAGAGUACGAUAUGAUGGUGAUGAAUUGCAACAAGAUAAUGAGUGGUGACCAUUCAAUUUAGCGUGAAGAUAGUGAUGCAAUCAGCUGAUCACAUACAUUACAAUCUUCACCAAUCUCUUACCAAAAGAUGGCUUAACUUCACAACCAUAUGGAAUUCUUUCUGGUAAGCUUGUGAAAAGGUUAUGCCCUAACUAUACCUGUCCGAAUUGAUAAGAAUUGGGCGCACACUUCCACCAAUUUGAUCAAUUGUGAAUACCUCACUGAUUAAGUGAGAAACCAUAUCAAGAAGGUUGGAAGAGCACUCAAGAAUUUGAGGGUCAAAACAAAUCCAUUAAAAUCUAGAGUACAAGAUAUUAAGAUUUGAACCAGGAACCAUGCCGAGAACAAAUAUUUUUUAUUUUUUAUUUUUUAUUUUUAUUUUUUACACCCUCUGUGUAAUGUUCCUGUAAGAUCCAGUUCACAUUGAGAAACAAACAAGCGAAGGAAGGUAAAGAUGCAGAAAUAGAAGUCACUGUUUCUGAUUAUUCAAUUAAACAUCAUCAUAAGGUUGAUUGGUUUCUUGGCCAAAAGAAAAUAGGUUUAAGCUCAAGAAUAGUUAAGAACUGUUAAUAAGAUUUGACGAGGCCAAAGACAUUUCGAGAUUCACAGUACUUUGUGAGAGUACAAGACAAAGUUCAAAAAUUAAACAUAGAACCUCUGAACUAACAGAAUGACGAAGAAGAAAGAUACAAACCAGCUUGCAUAUGCAUGCAGUGACACGAUUGGCUACCCUAAAGUGAUGCCUUUGAGGAAACCAAAGUUCAAUGAGUCUAGAGAAGUUCAGAGCAAAGCGCAAUCUUCGUACAAUGAUGAGUAUGGUAGAGUCUUAAGCCAUUACACUAAAAAUUACAAGGUUGAAUAGUUAAUGGACAAGAACAUUAGUUAGUUGAGCUAUAAGCAAGAGGCUAAGUUCACCUCUACCGAAAAGUUCAUGGACAAGGUGCUAGGGUUUUACCACCGAGUACCAGACCCAAGUGAAGUUCAAGGAGUCUGUUUAUCCAAACAAGACCGGAUCUUCAUCAUCCAAGUCCAACUACCACAACAACAAGAAUCGCAACUCUAUUUUGGGAAAUUAAUGACAAUAUCAUCUGCUACCAAGGAGUUUCUUAAGAAAAAUAUAAAAACUCAACGAAGUCAAUGCUCGAAGAAUUUGGUGUAAAGCUGACGGUCAAAGGUUAAGGAACUUGACUUCAUCGUUGGAAUAAGCAAAAAGAUUAUUAAUAGAAAUUUCGUCGAGAAUUGUCCUAAAGAUUCACACGAAUAUCUUCAGUGGAAAUGAGUCUGAGAAUAUUGAUUUGCUCCCACUAACUACCACUUACUAACCGUCGUCACCACCAGCACUUAAUUGCUUUUUUAGCACGCACUUCGAAUGUUUCGAGCAAUUUCCAAGAGAUAUGGCUCUGCCCGCCAUUCCUAAGGAACGCAUGUUGCAGAGUAUCGAUAUGAUGUUGAAAGUCGUCCAACAAUCCAAUUCAUCAUUGUUAAGGUACAAUCUCGACACAAAUUCUUAUAUUUCAGUUAGAAAGUGACAAUUCAAAUAGAGAAAGGUUAGCAUAACUGCGCCGAAUGGCACCAAAUCUAGAAGUCCUGACAUCUAAAUGAUGUCAAAACUAGCACUUUACGAGAAUAGAAGAGAAUCCUAAGUAUGCUCUGAACAAACCACGCUCUGAUACCAAUCUGACACGCCUCGAUCCUGAUAUUUCCCCGAAUACCAGGAUAGGCACGUGCUGGCCGACACCCGAGGGUGACGAAAGCCAUUUAUUGAGUUCAAAGGCUGAAAAUAAGGAAUAAUUAAGAGUUAUAAAUAUAAAAGAAUAAAGAAUAUGCAUUUAAGGAACGUGUUCAGAGCAUACAACUAACCUGAAUACUAAAAGAAAUAAUAUAAAAUUGAGUCAACAAAAUAGUAGGUCCUACACCAAGAGGACUCGAAAAUGCCGCUGCGGAAGUGCCUUGACGCCAGGAUUGUAUGUCUCGAUUCUAAGUCCUGAAUGGGGGUGCAAAACAAAGGUGAGUGGACCAAGUUCAUAUAUACAAUAAUAAUAAAACAAUUAUCAAGAUACUAACCCUCACAGUUUAUAUACAGAAAACUACUAGCGUAAUAAGUGAUAGGUCUACUGAAAACCCUAGCAUGCCAAAAACAUCUCUAAAGACAUAUCACGGAAAUCAAAACAUCAAACGUUCCAGAGAUUGUCUCGUAAGUGCGAUGUACUGCCAGUAAAAUCACUGAAUAAAUAUAACUCCCGGCCCUAUGCCAUCACCGUGGUCUCAAUGCCCGUAGCUAAAGAUUACCAACUCCCGGCCCAAUGCCUGCUCCAUGUCCCUUAGCUCGAAGCUAGAGAUUAUUUCUUCUGUCCUAACUGCCAACACCAGAUCCUCGGCCCAAGUGGCAUAGUGUCCACUAAGUACGCACAAAUAAUUACGCCUCUCAUAAAUAAUCACUUCAUAGUAUAAAGUCAUCCAUCGUCUAUACUAUAAAGAGGGGUUUCUAAAACAUGUUCUAGCAUCCUAUCGUCAUCUAUCAGAUAGUCUGCCAGUUCAUGGUUUUUAUAGAAAAUACGAUAUGUCAAACUAUAACUCAAUAUAGGCUAAUAAUUAAUUCCUCACUAAAAUUGAGACGAUAAACAACAUAUUCCAAAAAUAUGCUUAACAUAAAAUCAGUUCAUAAACUCGUAAGGCAUGCAUUUCAUUUAUGUAAAUAAACUAUAAAAUUAUGCAAAUUUUAGAAGGGGUCCACUCACAGAUACUCCGUAGCAGCAGAGUUGUGCGGAAAAAGAUUAAGGAAAUCCCCGCUAGCAACUUCACCUAAGCAUAAAAAUGUACAAUUCAUCAAACUACCCAACUAUAGAAUUUCAAGAAAUGGAAAUGGGUCUUGGGUUUGGAUGCAGAUUAGGGUUUAGGUUUAGGUUAAAUAGGGUUAGGACCUAUUGGGUUUUCUUAAGGAUUUAGGCUUGAAUUAAAUAAAAUAAAGGAUUUGGGGUGGAUGGUUAGAGCCUAACGGGUUUAGGGUAAAGGGUUUUGGACUUAGAGCCCCAACAGAAAUGGCCCAAAGGCCAUUUUGGUUUUUAAAACAAUUAAAUUAAAACAAAAAUAAACUGAGCUUAAUGGGCUGGAGGCCAAAGUUCCUCCCGACCCUAAGGCUUGAAGCCAAAGGGUUUGGGCAUUGCUGUCACGGCCCUAAGGCCUUUUGGGUCUUAAGGAUUUAAAUAAAAAAAUAAAAAGGGAAAGGUUGAGGGUACUGGGCUGGCUAAAACGGGUCUAGAGCCCAUGGGUUUGAGAAACGGCCUAAAAGGCUUGGUGUCGACGGGAACAACGGAGAAGAACGCCGGAGCCUUCCCAGCUCCGGCAGACUGCAAACCACGACCCUAGACUCCGAUCUAGGUAUUAAAAUGAAGCACAAGACGAGAGAAGUGUGUUUGUACCUUCCUUUUGUCGUAGAACGGCUGGAGACGAUCGAAAAAUCCCUCAUCUCACACAGGUUCGCCGGAGAUGGGUGAGCUCUCCUCCGAGUCUAUUUCGUUCUAAUUAAGUAGUUGGGAAUUAAUUUCACGUCAAUCUAUUUAAAUUAAUCCCUGUGGAGAAUGACCUUGCUUGAGCCAAUUAUACUACAAUAUCCCUUGCAAUAUCCUUGGUUCUCUUGCAAGUAUUUUAGGUGUUUUUAACCCUUUUUGUGUAGGUGAUAAAAAUCCUAUCAAUGUCUUAAUUCAUCCAUGGGAGAAUUUAGGCAUGUUUUGUGUCUUAAUUCCAGCCAUUUUACUCUCUUGGCCGAAAUUAUGAGGCAUUGUUGCCUAUUUUGUGAGCAAUCUUCAAUUCUUGCUUGUUUUAUGAAGAUGCCUUAACUUUCUUUCCGGUUUUAGGACCAAUUUGGAUUCCCUAACCGAAUUUAAGGGGGAUUCUCCCUUAUUACUGAAUUUUAGGGAAGUUUUAUACUUCCUUUGCUUGUCUUGUGCCACAUGUCCUUGAUGACUUGUCCAUUUGUGAUGAGUCAUAUGCCAUGUGGAACUUUGAGAUGCUUUUACAUAUGUACAAAUGCCCCCACUUCAAGGCACAUUGUAAGCAUGUGCUUGUCACAUGUAGGAAACAUGUUUUGAAGUCCUGCAAUGUGAAUUUUUUAACUCAAGGGUCGUCGAGACUUGGUCUGAAUUAGUUUGCUUCUUCAAGGGCCGUAAAGGCGUAUUUCUUGAAUCGAGAUGAUGAAUUUUUUCAAGGGCCUUUGAGGCGUGCUUCUUGAAUGAGUCUUUUCUUCAAAGGCCGUUGAGGCUUGGUCUUGAAUUGAAGUGGUAAAUUUCGUCAAGGCGUAUUUCUUGAAUGAAAUAUUUCUCCAAGAGCCGUUAAGGCUUGAUCUUGAAAGAAACGACAUUUUUUCUUCAAGGGCUGCAGAGCCUUGAUCUUGAAAGAAAGGACAUUUUUUCUUCAAGGACCGUAGAGGCUUGAACUUGAAAGCAAUGAAAUAUUUUCUUCAAGGGCCGUAGAGGCUUGAUCUUGAAAGAAAUUUUGAAAAUGGAUAAAUCGGCACAUACUUAUUAUACGUAUUUGAUUUUCCAUAAUCUUUGACAAAAUGCAUUUAGCACAUUUUGAAUUUUUUCCUUGUGGUUGUAGAAAAAAUGUUUCCCUUCCUUCAGUAGGAAUCCUCUUCAAUUUUGGUAACGAAGGUGACUUCUUUCAAAAUGUUGGAAAGCUUUUGGGAUUUCCUUCAAGGUUUUGGAAAGAUUCAAUUCUUGUUCCUUGAUGAGUAGGAUGUGCAUUUUUCCCUUCCUUUCUUUUUUCCUUCCCACGGCAAAGGAGAAUUUUGUUUUUUGUUUCUUGUUUUGAUUUCCCAUGGCAUGAAGGAGGGAUCUUUUUCCUUUCUUCUUCUGAUUCCACGGCAAGGAAGAAGCUUUCCUUCCUUGUUUUGAUUUUCCCAUGGCAAAGAGGUAUCCUGCUUUCCUGUUUUUUUUUUUUUUUUUUUUGUGGAAACAUGUCAUCUGACUUGCACACUCAAUUUGAGGUUGAUUUCUUUCUUGGAGAAUUUUGAAAAAAUAUGGGGAAUGUAGCUUUAUCCCUUAUAUCGCAUAUAACUAGAAAAAAUCGGGAAAGCCUUCAACUUUGUAUUUUCCUAUAGCUGCACAAUUCCUGACGGGAAAGUAAUUUCUACGGGAAUGACUUUGAAAACUGGAAUGUUUGGCUUUAGGGAAAAUUAUGAAAUUUGGACAUAAUGAUCCUCAGCCACUUAGCUUCCCUAUCUAAUUGGCCUUGCAUAAAAAUUCUUCCAGAAAGUUAAACUAUCAUAAAAAAUGUCUUGCAUGUGCAGAUUGGCUGUAAGUUGCCAUUUUUGCUUGAAAUUUGCUUCCUUCUUUUGAUGGGAAUGUGCUUUCUUGUUUUGAUUUUCCUUUUGCUAUUUAGGUAUGUAUUUUCCUUAUAGCAUUAGGAAGCAAUUGACCUUUAUAUAUAGGACAAUUGGGUGUAUAUUGUUUCCACAACACAACUCCUUUUGCUGUGCACUUUGUAACUGCUUGGAGUCGUGGGUUUUCUUUGUUGAUGUGCUUGCCGUGCCUGUUGUUGCUGCUUGGAGCUUGUUGCCAUGUGUCACUUUUACCGUGUGGGAUAGUGCAAAAGACUGCAGCGUUUUUACGUUGUGUAGUGCCUUUUGGUCACAACUUUCCUAGGUGGUGACAUAGUUGUGCCUCUUGCCGCUACUGCCGCUACCGUGCAAUUGCUGGUUGGAACUUGUUGUAGUGCGUCACUUUUACCAUGUGGGGUUGUGUAAAAGAGUGUAGCGUUUUUAUGCUGUAUAAUGCCUUUUGGUCACAACUUUCCUCGGUGGUGACGUUGGUUUGCCCCUUGUCGCUGCUUGGAGCUACUCACUUUGAUGUGCUCGAUCAAGCUUUAUGGUUGAUUUCUUUUAUCGCUGCGACUUAAUCAACAUCAUCCCUUGACGCUCAUGAGGUUAGUCUCGCAUGCCUUUUGUUUUGGCAAAGCAAAAAAAACUUUUUUCUUGUUGUGCCCUUGUGCUUAUGUUGCCUUAUUUGUUUCUGUUACAACCAUGGUAUUUUUCAGGUGCUUUAAGAACAAUACCAUCACCGUUCUUGCAAAGGAAGGUGAGUUGCAAGAUAGGGGAACGACGUUGAAGCUUUACGUGCAGUUGAUUGGCCCUAAGGCGCUUGUUCUUCCUGCCAAAGACAACUUGAUGCACAUCAAGUCGUGGUUUUCUUAAGUGUCUUGGGAGGUGACAGAUUUUGGUCAACCAACUCCAAAGAAGAAGGCGUGUACAUCAAGGAUUCUUAUUUUGAAUCAUUCGCACUAUGCUCAUGACAAUUCACCGGUUUCGUUUGAGCUUCUUGGCGAUCGUAUUUGUAGCGGAGCUAUGACUUGAAGUGGUGCCUUGUUGACUACUGGAGAAGCCGCCUAUGUUGAGUUUCAUUAUGAGUAACUUGGCUUUGUAAGUUUGUUCUCCCCAAAGACGACGUCAACUUUAUCCAUCAUUCGAGGUGUUAUCUUGGAGCAGGAAUCUACACUUUCUUAACAUUAGAAGGGGAUUUCAUGCCUAGAGCAAGGGAAAGGUGCGGCCAUAGAAGUGCCUACUUUGAAGACAUUGGAAGGCUUGCUUGAAGAUCAUUGUCGCAGCUUUAGGGACAUAACUUUCAAGUAGUGUCUUCCAUCUUUUGUACUUUAGGCCUUCCUUGCUUUUGCUCUUUUUGUAAUAAGGCUUUGUAGCCAAAUUCUUCCUUUAAAGAAAUAAAGUAUUCACAUUUUGAAUUUGUUCUUUAUUUUUCAAAGUGUUUAUGUUUUUGUUGAUGAUGUGACUGUACUUGAAGUUUUGAAGUUUCAAGUUGCCUACGUACCCUCCGUUGAGGAGGGAUCAAGUCAUGACGUAGUUCAAAUGGGUGAUGGGUUUUUACGAUCUUGAUGGUGGUUUUUGUUUUUGUUUUGCUUUGCCGUACACAGUUUAUGCCCUCUUACGGGCUAGGAGUAUUGGAUGUCACCUUUUAUGCUCAUGAGAACAAUGAGCGUUGUGCCAUGUGCAGUUUAGGCUUGUGCAUGCGAGGAGCAUUAGGUGUCGUCUUUUAUGCUCAUGCGAACAAUGAGCGUUGUGCCAUUUGCAAUUUAGGCUCGUCGUGCAGGCGAGGAGCAUUGGGGGUCGUCUUUUAUCCUCGUGCGAACAAUGAGUGUUGUGUCGUUUGCAGUUUAGGCUCAUGCAUGCGAUGAGCAUUGAGUGUUUGCCUUAAGGGUAGUAGCGCUUCAAGAAUCUACCGUUGAUGAGGCCGAUCUUCAAGCCAUCUUCUGCCAUGAUUAAGUUGGCAUCAUUGGUGUAGACCUAUUGUAUUACGUAAGGUCCAUCACACUUUGAUGUGAACUUGCUUUUUGUUUUGUGAGUUGUGAUAAUGGGCCUUUGUAAUGCCAAGACAAGAUCUCCAAUUUGGAAAGGCCUUAGGCUGCCUUUCUUGUUGAACGCCUUAGAUAGCUAUGCUUGGUAGCAUUCCAGGUGUUAUUAAGCUUCGAGCCUCAUUUCAUCAAGUACUUCCAACUCUUGAAGUCGUAACUUUGCAUUUUCUUCUUCAGUCAAGCCUUCUUAUAUAUCCAUCCUUAGUGAGGGGAUUUGACUUUCGACUGGCAGAACAACUUCCACGCCAUAUACAAGAGAAUAAGGCGUAGUUUGGGUAGGAGUCCUAUGUGUUGUCCUAUAUGCCUAAAGUGUUUCGCUUAUUCUUUCAUGCCAGUCUUUAUUUGUUCAGUCGAUCACUUUCUCUAGGAGGUUGCACAACGUUUUGUUGAAUGUUUCUGCAAGACCGUUGGCCGAAGCAUGAUACAUGGAAGACUUGUGCUGCUUGAACUUGUACUUCUCACAAAGCUCGUCCACGAGUCGAUGAUGUAGCGAGGCACACCAUAUUGGUAGAUGAUAUGCUCAUUGAUGAAGCGGACGAUAGUUUCCUUCUUGACUUCCCUUAGGUAUACAGCUUCAACCUAUUUGGAGAAGUAAUCUGUUGCAACUAUGAUGUAAGCCUUUAUGGCAAAUGAUUUUGAUACGAUUGGUCCCACGACAUCCAAUCCCCAUGCAUCAAAUAGCCAUGAAGCAACCGUAGGGUGUAAUGGCUUAGGCGGUUGAUGUAUGAAGUUGGCCUAGAACUGGCAGCCUUGGCACCUUUUGACGUGUUCCAGGCUAUCCUUCACCAUGCUUGGCCAGUAGUAGCCCAUCCUUUUGAGCUGGAACUGCAGCUUUGUCUAUACUGAUGCGUUCCGCAUACGCUUCAGCUUCUUCCAUGGCUUGAUUAUUUUCUUCCUCACCUAGGCAUCUUAGAAGUACUCCUUCAAAAAAGCGUUGAUAGAAUGUUCUUUUGUAAUACAAGAAACGAGGUGCUCGUCGACGUAUUUCAGAGCGGUGUCUAGGAUCGUCCGAGAGCUUUCCAUGCUCCAAGUAGUCGAUCAGGGACUGUCUCUAUUCUUCAAUGUCGAUUGAAAGUACUGAGAUGACAUUGUAUCAUCCAGUAGCAUUUCAGUGACGAGCGGGAUCACCCAUCUCUAGCAAACUGGCACGUUUACAGCUUCGUCUUCUCUUAGCGUCAUACUUGAGGCUAAGUUAGCGAGAGCGUCUGCCAUUUGAUUUUCUUUUCUUGGCAUAUGUUCUAGUGUCACGGUCUUGAACUUUCGGAGCAGUUAAGUUGCUAGUUAGAAGUAUGGGACGAGAUCAUCUUUCCUCACUUUAUAUUCAGUCAAGAGUUAAUUGAUUAUGAGUUUGGAGUCGUCAUACACUUUUAGCGUUGUGAUUUCCAUGUUGAUCGCCAUUUGAAGUCCGAUAAUUAGCGCUUGGUAUUCAGCGACAUUGUUGGAGCAUAGUUGGCUUAACCGGAAGGAAUAGGGUAGUAUUUGUCUUUGUGGUGACAUGAAUACUACUCCUGCCCCGUUCCGUCUGCUCGUAUGGAUCCAUCGAAGAACAUUGUCCAUGUCAGGAAGAUAUUGACGUAGAACACCUCAUAGUCGGGCAAGUCAUCUGAGAUUUUCCAAUCGGCUGGGAUUGGAUGAUCGGCAAGGAAAUCUACUAGUGCCUGUCCUUUGAUGGCUUUAGCUGGAACGUGGAUGAUUUCAUAUUGAUUGAGAAGCAAUGCCCAUUUUGCUAGUCGCCGCGUUAAACCUGGCUUGGACAUGACGUAUUUGACUGGGUCAGCUUUGGCAACCAAGUAGAUGGUGUAAGCAUGCAUGUAGUGUUUGAACUUUUAGACAGUAAAGACUAAGGCAAUGCACAUCUUCUCAAUUGGGGUGUAGUUGAGCUUGGCCCCAGUGAGGGUUUCUACUUAGGUAGUAAAGUGCUCUUUCAUUUUGGUCUUCAUUUUCUUGCGUUAAGAGUGCUUCAAUGGAACUUCUUGUGCAACAAUGUACAGGAUGAGCAACUUUCCAAGCAUGGGAGCUCCUAAGACAGGUGGGCUUGCUAGGUACAUUUUUAUGCUUUCGAAGGCAUUGCGGCAGGCGUCAUCCCAUACGAAUGAAGCGUCAUUCUUCAUGAGUCGACUGAAGGGUUGAUAGCGUUCGGCAAGGUUGGAGAUGAAGCGUUUUAUGAAGGCAAGUUGUCCUUGUAGACUUUUUAGCUCGUGUAGAUUCCUUGGCUCGGGCAUGCUUUGAAUGGCCUUAAUCUUUGACUAGUCUAUUUCAAUGCCACGAUGCUUAAUAAUAAAGCUAAGAAACUUCCCAGAGGUGAUGCCAAAUGCACAUUUUAACGAGUUUAUCUUAAGGUUGUAGUGCCGUAAUUUAUCGAAUACCAUUCGUAAAUCAUUCAAGUGAUCGGAUCUCUUCUUGGUCUUGACAACUACUUCAUCUAUGUAACAUUCUACAUUUUUAUGUAGCAUGUCGUUAAGGAUCUUCUGCAUGGCGCCCUGACAUGUGGCUCCAGAUUUUUUAAGGACAAUGACGAUGUUAGAGAUCCACUUAGGGUAUUGCACCUCUCGAAUGAAGAAUGCUUCAAUUAGCUUGUCAAUCUUGGCUUCAAUUUAUGGGAUGAGUUCGGAUCAAUAGUGUCUUUGAGUUUGCUUUAUCGGUUGCAUUCCAGGCUUGAUUGCCAGACGAUGCACGGUAAUGGUAGGGUCAAGGUCGGUCAUUUCCUUGUAGGUCAAAGCAAAGACGUCUUAAUACUCCAAUAGCAGUUGGUAGUACUCAUCGGUCUCAUAUAUGCUUAAUAGUGCAUUUACAAAGAUAGGUUUUAGCUAAUUGCUUGUACCUAGGUUGAGCUCAUUGAGAUCAUCAAUUGUGGCUUGCCCUACCCGUCUUCGAGUUGUGGUGGCGCAGCAGUGACAUCCUCCUCGGGAACUUCAUCUUCCUCAUCCUCUUGGAUUGUGAUAUGGAAAACAUCUUGGACCUCAUCUUCAAUGUAGUCUACUUGGGCUUGUUAGCGUGAAGAUUGGCUAGUGUGGAUGAUGGUGCGCUUUUUUACCUUUAAUUGUCCUUUUCUGUCCACUUCUAAAGUUGUUUGGCGCUUCAUCCUUGAAGAUAUCAAGCUGUGAACGUCAUCUUUUCCUACUAGACCGUCGAGCUUUUCUUCAUUUGGCAUUGUCUUCCUCUUUCUAGAAGUCGUCUUGGUUUCUACAAGUCAUUCCAAGGUAGACUGUCGUGGAGGAGAGCUAGCCAUGUUACUUUAUUUCUUAGGUUUUAACAACUUUUCGAAGACAGAGCUUUAGGGUGUUGGCAUGUUAAGCAGUUUAAAGAUGGAAGUUUGUUCUUGACCUACAAUGCGAUCAAGUGCCGAAAUUUUGGGUUUUGAAUGAUUCAACCUAUCGAAGACUGAUGUUUUAGGGGUAGGUUUAGGCUCCUCUUGAUUUUGUUCAACGUUUAUGUUGAUGUGUUGAGAGCUAGCAUUUUUCGUUUUGCUUGAAAUCUUCACGGGUGUAUUUGGUGUGAAGCCAAGUCCAGCUUUGUUGCUGUCAACUCCAUAACCAUGCUCCUUCAACCUCUUUUGAGUCUCGGUGAGGUCAUGUUCUUUGUUGUUGACGGCGUUUGCAAUUUUUUUUCCAAUAUUUGAAGAGGAAGUGAAAUCAUACCCAACCUUUGACAUGAGUUUGUAGGCGUUUAGGUUGAAGCCUUCUUCGGUCAUCUUAGUUGGAAGAGAGCUUAGUUCCAUCCUUUUUGGCAAGGGUUGUAUGAAGCCUUGCGGUGGCUUUGAGAUUUUAGCAUUGCCUAGCUGUGUCAGAGGUAAAACUUCAUUUGCCUUGAGCAACUUUAUGUCAUCCUUGUGCAGCUGUGUGUCGGCUUUGCUUGUUUCGAACAAGGAUUGCCCACUUUUCUUUCUCAACAUCGGGAUGUAUUGGAAGACGGGUGUGUUUGAUCUUUUUGAAGGCAUCACAUUCCCUUUGGUUGUUGUGGGCUUAACAAGUUCAUUGUUGUUUUUGCUUAAAGAUGGCACGGCUUGGCACUUUUUUUUUUUUGGUGCGGCUUUGCUUGUGGACUUGAUCUCUUUUAGAAGAGAUUCAGGCACCGUUUCUUCAUCCAUGUAGAACUUGACAUCCGCGAAGUGUGAUUUAGCUUCGAUGAAUGGCUUAGUGUCACCUUGUAUCACCUUCACUCCUUCUAGGUAGUAUUUUAAGCAUUGGUAGAGGGUGGACGACAUCACUCCAUUCUCAUGGAUCCAAGGCCUUCCCAAUAGCAAAUUGUAGGAAGUUCUCGCAUAAAUCACAUGGAAUAUCGUGCUCGACUUGAGUUUGCUAAUGGGCAUCUUGACGCGAACCAUGCCCAUUGUUAUUUGUCCUCCUUGGUUGAAACCUUGGAUUAGCAGAUGGCUUCAGGUCAGUUCACCCAUCUUGAUGCCGAUUGUAGUCAUUGUUGACUUUGGCAUGAUGUUUAUUGUUGAACCAUCAUCCACAAGCAUGCGAUUGGCUUUGUACUCCUUCACGUACCCAGAAACAAAGAGAGGACAGUUGUGAGGCUUUGACCCUAGCAACAAGUCUUCAUCAGUGAAGUUAAUUGCAUCAUGGACGACAUAACAUGUGGCAUAUUCAUGUGGCCGAAGCUUCAAGCCUUCGUUUUUACUUUCUUGCACCUCGUGGUCAUCUGGACUCGCCAAGACUACUAUUAGUGCUCUUUGCAUCUCCUUGGAUAAUCGUAGCGCCUUCUCGAUGCUAAAGUAUGACGCCAUGCUUUCUUUAGAUGUGGGAGUUUUCUCUUUCUUGAUAGCAAUAACUUUGCCUUUUGAGGGCUCUUGUAUCUCUAUUUCAACCAUGUGAUAGGCAGCGGUAGUGCACUGUUGGAAGAAAUCCUUCAGGAAGUACUUGUACAAGGAGACGGGAAUGCGUGGCUCUUGCUCCAUAGGUUCCCUAGCGUACGUCGGCUUAGCAGCUUUUACGUUUUUCUUAGGCUUCCUAUUGUUACGGCGGCGUUGCUUUCUCACUUGUUCCACUUUUAGUUUUACGGCUUGUGGUCUUGGCUUCCUUGUUUUCUUGUAGGUCACCAAUGUCCACCCUUCUUCAUCGUCAGUAAGUGUAUUUUGGUCACUUGCCUCCAGUGAUGGUUGUGUACAAGGUGUUGUAUGGCUUGAGCAUAGGUGGGAAUAAGCUUGUGUUACUUGGAGAGGCACGAGAUCGAACAAACAAAAAACAAUUGCAGUAGUGUGUGUUGCGGCUGUGUCUUCAAGAUCAAGUUCGAUUUGCCCUUGUUAUGCCAGCUUCAUGACAAGCUCAUUGAGGACGAAGCACUUGCCAACAGGAUGGCUCACGAUACAAUGGUAUCUGCAAUACCUAGGAUCAUUAACAUAAUUCAUCUCUUCUGGGCACAUGCACUUAGGUAACUCGAUCACCUUUUUCUCCAACAUAUGGUUUAGCAUUGCGGCCAUGUCAAAGUCUGAAAAAGGGUACGUCUUUUGCUCAAGCUCUCUCAAAGUGUUUUUGUACCUAUCUUGAGUGCGAGAAGGCUCACCUCUUUUUAUCUUAUUCAUUUUUUUCUUGGAAGAGAUCUUGACGGGCGCAAGGGAGGUCUUGACGGGGGUAGUGUUGAUGGUAAAAGCUUCUUUGGUGGGUUUCUUCCCAGUCUUGUCUACCUUCGGAGCGAACACCUUGUCUUUCUUGAAGUCGGUCAUUGGCUCUUCUUUUCCAUGGUUGGUGAUACUCAGCUCUAUGUCGUGGGAACUAGUAGCCAGUUCCUCAAAUGUCAUUGGCUUUAUGUCUUGGAGGAUGUAGUGUAGGCCCUAAUGCAUGCCUUGAACGCACAUCUCAAUGGCAGAGGUUUCAGAAAACCGAUCCUUAUAAUCCAGACUUAAUAAGUGUCAUCUGUUGAUGUAGUCAACGAUCGGUUUCAUCCUUCCAUUGCUUUGUACUUGUCAUCUCCAGCAUGCUUACAGUGAUGCGCGUGUUACAGAAACGGUUAAGGAAUUCCCUUUCAAGCUGGUCUAAGCUGUUGAUAGAUUUGGGCUCGACGUCGGUGUACCAGUCAAAGGCAUUACCUUUCAACGAGCACACGAACUGCUUAACGAGGUAGUCUCCCUUUGUCCCAAUGUUGUUGCAAGUUUUGAUGAAAUGGGCAAUAUGUUGUUUAAGAUUGCUCUUUCCAUCGAAUUGCAUGAACUUUGGCAACUGAUAACCCCUUGGCAUCCUUAAGGCAUUAAUCUUCUUGGAGUAAGGGUUUGAGUACAGCACGAAGUCAUGUGAGCUUCUUUGGUAUUAAGCCUUAAUGGUGUUAGUGAUCAUCUCCUGCAGUUGCUGGAUAAAAAGAGAUCUCAUGAGCGUUGUCACUUGGUCCAGCUUUUCGUCGACUUUCUCCACUAGACGCUCUUUCUUUUAGUUGGUUUCCUUCUUUAGUGGAUCAACCUUCGGGUCAACUUUGUUGUCUUGUUGCAUCUCCAGACGAUUGACGAGCGUAGCAAUUUGCAAGUCCUUUUCCUCCACGGUCAUUAUCAGCCUUGCAAUUGCUUCACUCAUUUGAGCCAGCUGCUCCUUGAUGGAAGUUGCACUAGUAGUUAUGACUUGCAUGGCUACAGGACAUGAGCUGCUUGAGUUGGUGUCAGAAGUCAAAGACUCAAAGUACCUUCUCUGGCUUUCUUCCCUUGGCGCCUUUAGCGAGGCCAGAGUGAUCACAGGUACGUGCCUCGGGUACUCUUACUCAUUCGGCAGAGUUGGUGGAGGGGUGGAAGGCACGACAGAGAGAGUUCUUGCCUUGCUUCGGGUUGUGACGCCCAAAGUGCCACCACUUGCGGCAAGGAUGCCCUUAUUCUUCGCGUUGGUAGCGGGAACAACUUGAUCUUUCCUUAAUGCCAUUCGUGUUUUUUUAUUGCGGAUUUGAAGACAAAGAUGAGAGGCAAAGAUGUCCCAUCGGGUGUGCCAAAUUUGUAAAGACGAAAAUUCGGUAUCGAAUGAAACGAGAACAUGUGUACAAAGUAAAUUUGUAGGUUACACUCUCCGUUUAUAACUUUUCUUUUGAUUUAGUCUUCAAAUUUGAUGUAGAUGGUUGAUUGUUGAUCCAAGGGUCGUGAAGACUUGAUCUCGGACGAACAGUUGAACGAUUGCUUCAAGUUUUGAGCUUGAAAACAACGCGUGGAUGAUCUUAACCUCAAGGGUACGACAAAGGGUGAUGUUGAUGCAUGAUUUUGCUGAUUCAAGGGUCUUGAUGACUUGAUCUUGAAACGAACGUUGUUAUAAGUUUAUAAGCUUGCAACAAAGUCUUGAAGGAAUCGGCACUAGCGUUUGUUGAUUCUUCAAGGAAGUGCUUCGGCUUUGGUCGAGAGAAAGCUUCGGCUUUUGGUUGAAUGUUCUUCGAAGAGAGCUUUGGCAGCUUAUUAGUCCUCAAAGGUUUGGCAAAGGUUCUUCUGUGUAUAGAUUUUUUCGACCCUUAUGCUUGUGGGAGGACCUUGUAUUUAUAGGCCUCUCAAAGCUUGCCUUUGGGUGGAUUUGGCUUUGAUUUAUGUCCUAAUUCGUCCAUGGGAAAAUUUAGGCAUGUUUUGUGUCUUAAUUUCAGCCACUUUACUCUCUUGGCCGAAAUUAUGAGGCCUUGUUGCCUAUUUUGUGAGCAAUCUUCAAUUCUUGCUUGUUUUGUGAAGAUGCCUUAACUUUCUUUCCGAUUUUAGGACCAAUUUGGAUUCCCUAACCGAAUUUAAGGGGGGUUAUCCUUUAUUGCCGGAUUUUGGGGAAGUUUUAUACUUCUUUUGCUUGUCUUAUGCCACAUGUCAUUGAUGACUUGUUCAUUUGUUAUGAGUCAUGUGCCACGUGGAGCUUUACGAUGCAUCAUUUGUAUGCAACGAAAUUUACAUGUCUACAGACCUCCUAGAGCGAACCACUCAAACCAACGAGAAGAUCGAUACGACAUCCAGACUGAGGACUUAUAUUACCAAUGACCCAAAACAUGUAGGUCCUCCUUCUCCAAGAGGCGUCAACCAUCAUGAGUGAUGUGGAGAUGCCCCCAAAGUCAUAAAUAGGAAGCUUCGUGCAAAGAAGAGUGCUUGGGGGAAAAGGAGCACAAAAUCACCGAAUAGAAAACCAAGGGAACCGAUCGAGAAUCCAGGAAACCGCCCCGACAUGAGGAGCACCCUAAGGAAGGUCAUGGGCAAGGAAAUGAAAAGUGUAUAGGACCGGUUGGAAGGCAUAGGGAGGUCAUGGGCGAGGAAAUGAAAAGUGUUUAGGACCCCCAACAUCAUUCGUACUCCGUUUCCAAAUGGUUUAGUAAACUAAUUUAACAAUAAUUCAAUUCUAAUUCCUUCUUAAUCCAAUUAAUUUUCAAUUCAAUUUCUCCUCAAUUUAAUUCACCUCGUUCUAAUUAUGGAUCAUUAAACGAACCAUAAAUAUAUAUUUGAGCUGCAGUGGUUCAGUUGUCAAAUUAAUAUUUGAAUUCAAAACCAUUAGGAAAAAGAUUAUUUGGAAUUGGUGUUUAGAGAGAUUGCCUGGAGCAUUUUGGGGAAAAGAGCAAACAAAUUUAUCUGUUUUCUGAAACUUUCAUAUGAUGAACCUCAUUGGCCCAUUUGCGGUGCAGGUUACAGAUUUUGACAAGCAGAAGUGAUCGGACAUCUUCUGAAUUGAAUUACAAUUGAAUUCUGUCUUCCCGAGAAAAGCAAAAUUAAAAGCAAAAUUAGUGAAUUUUGCUGGGACCCUAUAAAACGAUUUCCAAUGAAUUCUUUUAUUGAGCACGAUUAUCUUUAUGAUGCCUGACUUCUUUUAUUCAGCCCUGAACUCUUUUAUUGAGUAAUCUCCAGCCUCCAUAAAACUCUCAUUUACUCCAAAUAAACUAGUCCUAUCUCCCUAUAAUCCAUUUCUUCGGGCUGGUUUGGUAUUGCUGUGUUUUGAAAAAAAGCUGCUGUGAGAAUAAGCGGCUGUGCUGUGAGAAUAAGCGGCUGUGAAAUAAAGCAGCAGAGCGUUUGGUAAACUUUUUUGUAAAAGUGCUUUUGGAAAAAAAAGCAGUCUGAUAGUGGGUCUUUUCAUUAAAGGAGCACUGUAACUCCAUGUGCUUUGAAAAAAAGUCAGUUUUCCAAAGCUGCAAAUAGCAGCUUCAGCUUUUUCUUUUGAUUUCAGCUUAUUCUCACAGCAGCUUCCAAAAUAAGCCUUUUUUUUAAGUUUACCAAACACCUAAAACCCUCACAGCUUUUUUUCAUAGGUGCUUUUUUUUUUAAGCACCUCACUCCCAAACUAGGUCUGCGUCUCCUAACCCUCCAACAUCUUCGUUUAAACCUCAGAAAUCUUCUUCUCUCAAUGCAUCAUCUCUGAUUUCUCCUCAUUCCUCAACUAUCUACAUCCUCCUCUGAGCCACCUUCGACAUCUGCUUCGAAACCAUGUCCAUCAUCCUCUGUUGGACCUCCCAUAUGCUCCACUAAGCACCGUCCAAUGUUUAAGCCGGUUCUAUCCCGGGCCUCUUCAGAUGUAUUAGAUCAAAAGGGGAAGAAAAGUUAUGUGCGAGUCGAGAAGGAUUCAUUACCUAUAUUCGCAAUUCCUGUCGAUACGAAAGAUUUGAUCAAGAAUGGCAUUGCGCCGAAACUUCUAAACCAGCCUCUGUCUCCCGCCACAUAUAAGGAUUACUUCGCUGCCCUCUUAUAUGCUGAAGAGUUCUACUAUGAGGUAUUUUUCGUAAUGCUUUUUUCCUCUUGACUUGUAAUUUAUGAAAACUAUGGCUGAUAUCUAAGAGUAUGUUUGAUAUUUUACUUGAAUUUAACUUUUUAAAUUCAAAAAUAAUUUUUAAGUUUUAGGGUUUAAAAACUUGUUUGGUAAGAUUAUUUUAAAAAACUGAACUUAUGAUUAACUAAAAAAAUAUAUUAUAUUCUCUAAAAACAUAAAAAAAUGAGUUUUUAGAGUUUUUAAACUUAAACUAACUCAUUUCUUUUCUCUCCCUUAUUCCCUAUCACUCCAAAUCUAUCUCUUUUUUCUUCUUUCUCUCUUCUUUUUUUUUACCUUUUUUAUCUCUCCUCUAAUUCACUCUCUUCAUUCUCUCACUCAUUUUCUUUUCUAUCUCGUCCGAUCCUUUUUCUUCUUUCUCUUUCCUUCAAUUAUCUCUUACUUUCUUUCAUCCUCUCCCAUUUUUUUAGAUUUCUUUGUCUAGCUUAAGUUGUAAGAUUUAAAAAUUUUAAAUCGCAAACCAAUCAAGUUUUUUAGUCUUAAAAAAAUUGUUUUAAAAAAAUAUUCUUAAGAAAUGUUUUGAGAAAUGAUAAAAAAUUUCAAAUAUGAUAUCAAACAUGUCCAAACCUUUUAUUUAAGAAAAUUUCAAAAGAUAUUAGGGGUACUAUCUCCUUAUGAAGUCUAGUUAAGUUGUGCUCGUAGUAUUAUUGCUUCCAUUAGUUGGUCAUAUAUAUUAUAGAUCGUAGGGUUGUGAUAGAUACAACAUUAACAUUGUUAAUUUCUUGGUUUCUUGUAUGCUUUACAUCCUUGCAUUGAAUUAAAACUCAUGCUUUUCUUUUGAAAUAGAAAUGGCCUCAUUUCGUUUUGGAGAAUGUCACUGUGGAGUUGCACCAAACAUCAAUUGAAAAAAAAACCAAACAAGGAAGAGAGAACCUUCGUAGCAUUUGAUAUGGCCUAUUUUCCUGCGAAUCACCCAUUCCUUUUGUCGAGGGACUUGGUCUAUGUACGAACAUCUGGGACAAAUGCUGAGCCAUUUUAGGUAAACUACGAGCAUCGAUCAAUCAACAUGCAUUGAAUUCUAGAUGUGUAUCUCAUUUUCUUUUAUUAUCCAUCAACAUGAUCUUACCUGUUAUACAGGGCUUUAUAUAUCGCGUUGUCAUGAGCAGUGUUGUUUUAGUAGAGUCUGAAGAUGACUUCUAUGUUCAGCAUAGAAGUGAACAAUGGUGACCUUGACUAGUUUCGCUGACAAAAAUACUAUUGUUAUAGUUACUGGUGAAAUAGGAAACUGUUCACAUUAGGUUCAAGCUGACAUUGAAAAGAAAAAAGGACUGAAGAUUUAACUGUUUGAAAGACUUUCCAAGUCAGUGCCAUGUUGUGUAGAAGCCUCAGUUUAGUGUGUUGGAUUUGGCAUUAAUCAACAUGCCUAAACUAAAAAGGAUUAGGAUAUCUUAGACGCAAGAUAUUUGGAUUUGUGUUUCCUAGUUGAUUUGGGAUUUGGUUUUAGUAUAGGAUUUGGUUUCCUAUAUUCUAGGGACUUUGUGUAAACCUAUGACAUCUAUUAGUAUAAAUAGAUGGAUGUGGGAUAGAGUUUUGUGUGUGAAAGUUGUGAGAAGCAUAUGUUUGUAUACUUGAGAACACUUUGUGUUUGUGAGUUCUCUUGUAUUUGUUGGUAAUCAAUAAAGCUUCUGUUGUUAGAGAGGUACUCCUAUAUUGGAGGAACUCUGAAAUCGUUGUGUUUUGUUUAUUGCUUGAUUGUUUAUUGGUUUAGUUUAUAACAAGUGGUAUCAGAGCUUAGGUUAUUACGUGGGUUGUGACUAUCAAGCAAUGACGAAGACUGGUGAUUCUACCAGUGGUGAUGAUGUUGAAGAAAAGUUUGGCACUAGUGGAACCAAGACGGCGAUUUAGAGUGCUAGGUUUGAAAUUGAGAAAUUUUAUAGAACAAACAACUUUGCUAUGUGGCAAUGUGAGGUUCGAGAUGUCUUGAUACAACAAGAUUUGGUUGUUGUGUUAGGAAAUAUGUCAUUUUCGAUGAAAAAAGAAGAAUAUGAAAGAUUGAAUGCUCAUGCAUGUUUUACAAUUUGGCUAUGCUUAGGAAAGCAACAGAAGUAUGAUGUGAUGAACAUAACUUCUGCGAAGGUAUUGUGGGCUGCAUUGGAGACAAAAUGUAUGAAAAAAAGUGCAGAGAAUCGACUACAUCUCAAGAGCAAGUUGUAUAGGUUCCAAUACAAAGAGGGCACGAAUAUGAUUGGCCAUCUAGAAGAGUUUAACAAGCUUUUAGCUGAACUGGAAAAUCUUGAAGAGAUAAUCAAAGAUGAAGACAAGGCCUUGAUCCUAAUGAACUUAUUGCCUGAAUCAUAUGAGCCUUUCGUGACUACUUGGAUUUAUGGCAGGGAGAUACUUAAGUAUGAUGAAAUCUCAAGUGCUCUUGUGAAUCAUGAGGUAAGACACUUUGACAGGCAAGAAAGGAAUAACUCUGAAGCUUUGAUAGUGAGAGGGAGAUCGAAAGAAAAGAAAGGUUCGUACAGGAAAAAUAGUAGGUCUCAUACUAGAGGAGUCUCAAAUAAUAAAAAGUUAUUGGACAAAGAUGAGUGUGCUUUUUGUCAUGAAAAAUGACACUGGAAGAAGGAUUGCCCUAAAAUAAAAUAAAACACUAGAAAGAAGAAGGAUGACUCAGAAGCAAAUAUGGUUGAAGUCGAGGAUGAGGAAUUUGUCUAUGCCCUAACUGCAUCGACCAUUGUUCAUUAUAGAAAAGAGUGGGUGCUCGACAUAAGUUGUACCCAUCACAUGACUUCUCAAAGGCAAUGGUUUUCAAGCUUUAAAGUUAUAAAUGGAAUUGUGUAUAUGGGAGAUGAUAACCUAUGUACAACUCAAGGAAUUGGAAGCAUCAGGAUCAAGCAUCAUGAUGGUGUGAUUUGAGAAUUGCAUGGUGUAAGAUACGUCACAAAUCUGAAGAAAAAUUUGAUCUCACUAGGCAUUCUCGAGUCACAAGGCUACAAGUUUUACUCCGGUAACAACGUGCUCAAAGUUGCUAAAGGAGCACUUGUCAUAAUGAAAGGGCCUCAGAAUGGCUUACUUUAUAUGCUACAAGGAAAGACUUUGGAAAAUGGAGUGGCUAUGGUAGCUAAUGAAGUGCAAAGUGAUAAAAGUGAUUUGUCUGCAUUAUAGCACAAGAGGUUGGGACAUGUACGAGAAAAAAACAUGGCAAGGAUUGAUCAAGCAAGGGUGGUUAAAAGGAGUAAAAGUUGGAAAGAUAAAGUUCUGUGAGCACUGCGUUCUUGGCAAACAAACAAAGGUGAAAUUUGGCUCAGCUGUUAAUCAAAUGAAAGGGAUUUUGGACUAUGUUCACUAUGAUGUUUGAGGGUUUGCAAAGAAUGCUUUUUUAGGUGGAAAAAGAUGGUUUGUAUCUUUUAUUGAUGACUACUCUCGCAGAUCAUGGAUAUAUAUGAUGAAACGAAAGGACGAGGUUCUUGACAUCUUCCUGGAAUGGAAGAAUAUGGUGGAGAAUAUACCUCUGAUCCUUUCUUCAAAGUGUGUAAAAAAUAAGGGAUUACUUGGCAUUUCAAUGUUAGACAUACUCCACAGCCGAAUGGGAUUGCAGAGAGACUAAAUAGGACCUUGCUCGAGAAAGUUCGUUGCAUGCUAUCUCAAGCUAAGCUGCCAAAGAGAUUUUGGGCAGAAGCUUUGAGCUAUGCAUGUCAUGUGCUUAAUCAACUACCAUUAACAGCAUUGGAGGGUAGAACACCCAUUGAAGUGUGGUUUGGAGAACCAUUUCAUGACUACGAUAAACUACAAGUGUUUGGAUACAAUGCCUACUUUCAUGUGAAGGAAAACAAGCUGGAUCCACAAGCCAAGAAAACUGUUUUUAUGGGAUUCAAUAGUGGUGUGAAAGGCUUGAAACUUUGGUGUCCCGAGUUGAACAAGAUUAUAGUAAGUAAAGAUGUGACAUUCGAUAAAAGUCACAUGAAAUUGAAGGAAGAUGUUCAGAUGGUGGAGCUUAGGGAACAAGUAAUUGUGAAUUCACAGCCAAGUAAGGAAAUUGUGGAAGAAGAAAGACAAGGUGAUAACCUUGAACAUGAAGAGAGUGAUCACGAAAAAGAAACACCAUCAGAAGAACUAAAGAUACAAGAUGAUUGCAUAGCCAAAAGGAAGGGGAAAACAAAACAUAUCCUUACCUACAAUAUAUAAAAAUUGCAUGGCCUACAUGGUAUAUGCAUUGCCAGUAAUUGAGGCUGAAAUUCCUACUAAUUUUGAAGAAGUAGUAAAUAGUGAAGAAGAGAACGUUUCAUCAUCCAUUGCAUCAUGUAAGCCAUGCAAUGGAUGAUGAAAGGCUCUCAUUUCACAAGAAUAAGACUUGGGAAUUGGUGGAGCUACCUAGAGGAAGGAAAGCAAUUGGCUGCAAAUGGGUUUAUGCAAAGAAGGAUGGAGGGGAUGACAAGAGCUUGGUGAGAUUUAAAGCUAGGCUAGUGGCUAAAGGAUAUGCUUAGAAUGAGGGAAUAGAUUACAAUGAGAUUUUUUUCUCCUGUGGUUUAACACUCCUCCAUUCAAAUAUUGCUUGCCCUAGUUGCACAAUUCAACCUUGAAUUGGUACAACUAGAAGUGAAGACUGCAUUCCUUCAUGGUAAUUUGGAUGAAGAGAUUUAUAUGAGACAACCUGAGGGGUAUCAAGUGAAGGGCAAAGAAAGAUUGGUUUGUAAGCUUAGAAAAUCUCUUUAUGGUUUGAAGCAGUUGCCCAGGCAGUGGUAUUUAAGGUUUGACAAGUUUAUGAAGGGUCAUGACUAUACAAGAAGUCAUUAUGAUCACUGUGUUUAUCACAAGAAGUUGAAAGAUGGUUCCUUCGUGUACUUGUUAAUCUAUGUAGACGACAUGCUCAUAGCCUCAAGCAAUAUUUCAGGGAUAGAAAAGUUGAAGGAGCAAAUGAGAAGGAGUUCAAAAUGAAGGAUCUCAGUGAAGCCAAGAAAAUAUUGGGAAUGGAGAUCAUAAGGGAUAGAUAAAAAGGUUUAGUGUGUUUGUCUCAUAAGCAAUAUCUUGAAAAGUUGUUACAAAAGUUUGGAGUAACAAAAAAUACUAGGCCUGUAGGAACUCCAUUAGGUUCUCACUUCAAGUUGAGCAGUCAACAAUGUCCCAAAACUGAUAAACAAAAGAAGAAGAUGGAUGGUAUUCCAUAUGCUAAUUUGGUUGGAGGAUUAAUGUAUGCUAUGGUGUGUACUCAUCCUAAUAUAGCACACAUAGCUGGAAUUGUUAGUAGAUUCAUGCAUAAUCCUGGAAGAGAGCAUUGAAAUGCUACUAAAUGGAUACUAAGGUAUUUACAUGGAACGAGAGACAAAGGUAUUUGUUUUGAAAGAUGUGUUGAAGGAAUUGAUAAGUUCUCAAUUGGAUAUAUGGACUCAAACUUUGCUGGAGACUUAGACAAGAGAAAAUCGAUGACUGGGUGUGUGUUUACCAUGGCAAAUGGUCCUAUAUGUUAGAGAUCAAUAUUGCAACCAAUAGUGGCAUUAUCAACCACAGAAGCAGAAUACAUGGCGAUCGCUGAAGCUAUCAAAGAAGAAAUGUGGACUUUGAGGUUGUUAGGAGAUUUAGGUGUAGAACAACACAAGUUGGAUGCAUAUUGUGAUAGCCAAAGUGCCAUUUAUUUGGCCAGAUAUCAGGUACAACAUGCUAGGACUAAGCGCAUUGAUGUACGAUAUCAUUUUGUGAGAGAAGUGGUAGCUGAAGGUGAGAUUUGUCUAAAAAAGGUUGCUACAGAAGAUAAUCCAGCUGAUAUGUUGACAAAAGUGGUUAAUGCAGCUGAGUUCGAGCACUGCUUAGAUUUGGUGCAGUUGAAGCAAGUUUGAUCUUGCGAUAUAGUGAAGCAAAGGAACUUGUUUGAUGCCUUGUUAUGGAUUUCAUGCCACGGUGGAGAUUGUUCUAUUUGGCACUAAAUCAACAUGCCUAAACUAAAAAGGAUUAGGAUAUCUUGGACGCAAGAUAUUUGGAUUUGUGUUUCCUAGUUGGUUUGGGAUUUAGUUUUAGUAUCAGAUUUGGUUUCUUAUAUUCUAGGGACUUUGUGUAAACCUAUGACAUCUAUUAGUAUAAAUAGAUGGAUGUGGGAUAGAGUUUUGUGUGUGAAAGUUGUGAGAGGCAUAAGUUUGUAUACUUGAGAACACCUUGUGUUUGUGAGUUCUCUUGUAUUUGUUGGUAAUCAAUAAAGCUUCCGUUGUUAGAGAGGUACUCUUAUAUUGGAGGAACUUUGAAAUCGUUGUGUUUUGUUUAUUGCUUUAUUGUUUUUUGGUUUAGUUUAUAAUAUAGUGUUCAUCACAUAAUUGGAGCAUUAUCAAGAGUAAGACUCAUUCAAAACCUACAAGCAACUUUAUGAUUCUGUUCCAUCGAAUGUAUACAUAUUUUAUAUUACAAAUGUGUAUGUAUGUAUUAUCGUACUUACGCUCAUCUUGAUGUUAUGCGGAUGGUUCUUGUGCAUUAAGAUUAAAACCAUUUUCUUAGAUUAUCCAAUACUCCGAAGCACUGUAAAAUUUUUGUUAUGAGGUGUCAUUUGACUGUUUGGGGUAAGAAAGUGUAGCAAUAGAAGCUAUAUCUUUCAGAAAAGAAAUGGUGCACUUUAAACCUAAAUGGGGAAAGAAAUCGAGCAUCCUCAUGCACAAACUGUGUGUGGUUCCCACUUACCACCGCAAGGAAAAUGUGGUAAUCUUCCAGACCCAUUUUUAGAAGAUUCUCGUUUCAACUAAAUACUUGCAUAUCGAACUUUUAUCUGCACAACUUUAGUUAAUGAAUUUAACAUCUGAACAAGAAUACUCGAUUCAGAAUGAUCACUCGACUCAUUCGUGCAUUACCAUUUAGAAAGAUCACUCUCAGUUCAUAUCUUUGGACUGAGCAUCAGUUCCAAAAUCACUUGUUCGCACUUGUUGGUACCAUAUAUUGGGCCUCGUCUUUGGGCCUCAUCCCUAAGCCCAUGACAAAUGUAAAAGGGGAGGGAGCCCUUAAUCUAUAAAAGGGACUCUCCCUCACCCUCAUUAAGGACUCAUAUUCAACCUUACAUCCAGAGGAAAACAAAGGGUCUUAGAGCCUCACAUUCACCCCUCACAAUAUAGAGGGCAAUACCCUCUCAGCCAAAUAGAGAGCAAAAUGGCAAGGGUUGCAUCCACAGAGAGCUCCCUUGCCGAUCUAUUGUAAUCCAUACAUUUAUACAUAAUCAACAUUAGUGUGGAUGUAGCCCAAACAUUAGGAUGAGCCUCGAUACAUCUUUGUGUUCUUGUGCGUUUGUGUGAUUCACGGUCAGAUUUACGUUGGUCUAAGAUCCUCCAGAUUUUAUGCAUCAACAUUUGGCGCCGUCUGUGGGAAACGACACGAAAAGUUAUGUCGGUUCUCUCUCAAUCUUUCAUCUCACUGCCGUGAAACCUUCACAACCUCACCACUGUCCACCGUGGAUCUGAAAACCCACACAGAGACACAAUCUCUUUCUCCUUCCUUCUCUCUCACUCAUCACACUCUCUUUCACCUCCAUAAUGGAGCCGUGGAUUGACGACUUAGUCGACAACCUCCAAAGCCUAAGUUUCACGUCCACCAUAACCACCAACACCAACAAUACCAAGUGCAGCACUAGCUCCUGCUCCGAAUCCUUGACUCGGCAACUCUCUAUCUCCGACCUCAAAUUCGCAGAGCGCCUCUAUUCCAACGACAUCAAUUCCGUCUACUUGGCCGAGUUGAAGUCCCCCGCUGGGGCCUAAGGGUGCAUAUUUAUAGCGAAGGUGAGGGACAAUAAGGAGCUGAUCAGCUGGAGCAAGGAAGGACGGGCCAGGACAAAGGGAGAAAUACUGGAAAUGUUGGAGCACCCGUUUAGCCACGCUCUACGCGAGCAUCGACGCGCCCAACUAGCUUUUCCUGCUCACCGAAGAAGGGGGCUUGAAGCCCAUGAAAGAUCAUAUAGAUCUUAAUUCACAGACGAAUAAGCGAGACCUGAAGGAGAUUGCGGGCAGCUUCUGGUCAGCAGCUUCAGUUUUUAGCAAAACAUUACAGAAAGGGAGGCAGAAGCAGAAGUUGAAGAAGCGGCGGAACGGCUGCGGGUUGGCUUGUUGCCCGUGGAAAAGCUGAUCGUACGUGUUUCCACCUACUGACAUUAGCUAGAAGAUCUGAGACUUCUGAGCUGGAGAAGGACAUCCAGCUUAAAAAAUGGGAUCGGGAUCGGGAUCAUGGCACAUGGAGAGAAAAGACAGCUUCACAGGUGAACCCGUUAGAGACAUUGAUCAUGUGCUCGAAAAUAGGUCUCUCUUGAUUAUCGUGCUUGGCCCUUUUGGUGAUCCUGCCAAGAAGAAGACUUUACAGAAGCUACCUACCAUCCACCAGUGGAAACACUCACGAAGAAGAUAUGACUUUAUAUUUCUUUAUGUUAUUUCUCAAUUAUUCUAUAAAUGGUGCCCAACUUUACUUUUCUUUUAUCUGCCUCAAUUAUUCUAUAAAUGGUGCCCCAUCUCCUGUGAAUACCACGGGAAAAACGGAGAUAAGAUUCUUUUCUCAUAACAAUUCUAUUAUUAUUCCCUGCCAUCUGCCAAAAGGAAAAAGAAAAGAGCUUUACUUUUCUUUUGUCUGCCAUCUGCCAUCACACGUAUUUAACCCAAGUACCUGUGCAAUAUUUAUUCAUUGCCUAGUGAUAUUGUGACUGCUAUUAAACUAUGUCACUUAUACAACAUGUGAUUUACCACACGACUGAAUAAAUUAUUUAUAGAAGGCAUAUAGUACAAUAUUUUACCUUGACAAACUUUGUCAAUUUGAUUUAUUCAUUAUACGGUCAUACUUAUACUGUCAUUUAUUGUCAGGAAUUAUUGAGCAAUUAGAUCCACUGAUCUACAUUGUUGCUGAUUAAAAGAACCUAAUAUGCGAACCCGACAAGCAGACCCGAAUCAUGUCGAGAAUCAACUCAUAAUGAGUACAUGUCGACAUAAAGUAGAUACUUGCAAUGAGGAAUACCAUGAGCCAAGUGCCGAGCCGUCUCACAGCGAGCAUAGCCUCUAGCUGAGCAGCCUCGCAACGAGCAUCGCUUCUAGCUGAGCAACCAUCUCACCACGAGCAUAGCCUCUAGCCGAGCAACCUCGUAACGAGCAUCGCCUCUAGCCGAGCAGUCUCGUAACGUGUGAUACCUCUAGUUGAGUAUUGCUUUAUGUUGAACAUUGCCUUAUGUUGAGUACUGGUUCAAGACAUCUACCCAUUUCGGCCCGUACAUGGAUUGGAUUUGAAGUCUCCAGCCAAAAAACUCUCUUGACUGAAUACUUGGGGGACUCCUGUUGGUACUAUAUAUUGGGCCUCGUCUUUGGGCCUCAUCCCUAAGCCCAUGACAAAUGUAAAAGAGGAGGGAGCCUUUAUUCUAUAAAAGGGACUUUCCUUCACCAUCAUUAAAGACUCACAUUCAACCUCACAUCCAGAGGAAAACAAAGGGUCUCAGAGCCUCACAUUCAUCCCUCACAAUAUAGAGGGCAAUACCCUCUCAGCCAAACAGAGAGCAAAAUGGCAAGGGCUGCAUCCAUAGAGAGCUCCCUUGUCGAUCUAUUGUAAUCCAUAUGUUGACAGUAGCAACAGCUGGCAAUGCCACAUCAGCUUAACUAAUAGACUAUUGGUGGUUAUGUUGGUUAGAAAUGUUAUAACUAACUGAUAUAGUUACUGAAGUUACUGAUGUAAAUCUUGCAAUCUAUAUAAGAUGAGAUAGCAUUACUGUAAUCUUUAAUUCAGAUCAAUACAAAAGUUUCUUUCUCUAAAACAUUCAUUCUCUCUCUAGAACUCUUCUUUCUUCUCCUUUUCUUGUUCGAGUAUUCAUUGUAGAUUAGGAUUUCUGUAUACGUUAACAUGGUAUCAUCGCCGUGUACGUUCCUUCGUGGCUAUCGUCUUCCGCUCAUGGUAGUUGUUGCCGGAGAUCAUUCUUGGUAACUUCGUGUAGUUUCGUCAGUGUUGUGCGUUCAGUCGGAGGCUUGGUUUUUCUUGCAAGUACAGUAUGUUUUCUGCACUCUAUCUGUUUGUGAAAAUGUCUCAAGGUCUUUUCUUCUGGGUUUGUUGAUUUUUUGUGUGAAAGAAACAAAGGCCGAUGCCAUCUUUCUGCAAUCUUGAUUUGAGAUAUAAGGCCGAAGCCAUUAUCUCGGUGUAAACUCCAUAAGGCCGAUUGCCGGAGUGUAGUUCUUGUGCGAUUCUGUUCUCUUUCUUCAUUCAAGGCCUAUUGCCGAAGAAAGUUGUAUUUUUUUUUUGAGUAUCUGUGGGUCUAUAUCUUGUUGUUUGAAAUCUUGGGUUGUAUUUGUGAUAAUCUUUCGUGUGUGAAGAUGGCUGAAUCUAAUGUUAGAAUUGAGAAUUUGUUAGGGAUGUUGACAGUAAAGUUGCAAGAUGAUAAUUUUGUGAAAUGGAGUUAUCAAUUUUCAUCGGUGUUGAGGGGGUAUGAUUUGUUUGACUUCUUUACUGGAGAAGCACCAUGUCCGCCUAAGUAUGUGAUUGAUACAGCAUCUGGGGUUACUAAUGAAAUUAAUGCUGCUUAUAAAGAUUGGGUGAAAAAGGAUCUAGCUUUGUUAAGUUUGUUAAUUGUAACUCUUUCGGAUGAUGCUAUGGAACAUGUAAUUGGGUGUAAAACAUCUUAUGAAGCUUGGAAAUGUUUGCAAGAAAGAUUUGCCUCUGUUUCAAUGGUUCAUGUGAAUCAGCUUAAAACUGAAUUGCAUACUGCUCAGAAAGGUGGUGAUUCGGUUGAUAAAUUCUUAAUGAGAUUAAAAGGGAUAAGGGAUCAAUUAGUAUCUGCAGGAGAAAAGGUUACUGAUAAUGAUUUUAUCAUUGCUGUUCUUUCUGGUUUGCCUGCUGACUUUGAGAUGAUUAAGACAGUUAUAUUGGCAAGAGAUUCUCCUAUGUCUAUCAAAGAUUUUCGAGCACAAUUGCUUGUAGCCGAAGGUAGUAUUGAAUCUAGAAUGCAUUCUUUAUCUAGUUCUAUGUCUGCUAUGGUUGUUCAAGGUGAAGGACUACAAGGCUUUCAAGGGUAUGAACAUGGUGAGAGCUCUAAUUCUCAGAGGUCUCAGGGUAGUCUCAGCAAUGCUAUAUUCGGUAACAACUUUCAGAGAGGAAAUGGUUUUAAUGAUCAGUCUGGUAGUAAUUUUCAGGGAGGAAAUGGUUUUUUAGGAAUUGGAAAUGGUAAUGGUGGUAGAGGUUUUCAGUCUUCACAGAGAGGAAAUUUUAAUAAUAGAAAGUUUGGAGGUGGGAAUCACAAUUCCAGGUUUGCAUCAGGGUUUCAUAACAGAAAUGGGAAUAAUGGUUACUCUGGGACUAAUGGCUACUCUGGAAGUGGUAAGAGUGUUGCAGGAUAUGAAUCUGCAAGUAAUGGGUUCAUCUCGACUAAUUCAUCUGCUGGUCAUGGCAAUUCUAAGUCCAAUUGGAAUGGGAAUACCAACUCUAAGUACUCGGUAUCACCUGAAUGUCAGAUAUGUUCGAGAAAGGGACACACUGCACCAAACUGCUACUAUAGAGCUGAGAGUGGAGGUUCACAGUCUUCUGGUUCUGUAAUCUGUCAGAUAUGUGGAAAGCGGGGGCACAUAGCUCUUGAAUGCUUUCACAGGAACAACUUUGCAUAUCAGGGAAAUCCUCCACCACCACCAUCGAUUGCAGCUAUGACAGCACAAGCAAAUGUCACUCAAACUGAAGGAUCUGGUGUUGGUUUUACUGCUGAAGAAAACUGGAUAUUGGAUUCAGGUGCAACUCAUCACAUGACUGCAAAUUUACAUCAUCUUAAUCAUGUUAUUCCUUAUACUGGUGAUGGAACUAUUACAAUUGGGAAUGGUACAGGAUUGAAAGUAACACAUAUUGGUUCCACAAGCAUUCCUCUUUCUAAACAAUCUUUGAUGUUAAGAAAUGUGCUUUGUGUACCUAAAAUCACUGUGAAUUUACUUUCUGUUAAGAAGUUAUGCAGAGAUAAUGGAUGUUGGUUUAUAUGUGAUGAUGUUGUCUUCUUCAUACAGGACAAGACAACAAGGAAGAUACUGUACACAGGGACAAGUGAUGAUGGGGAGCUGUUUUCAAUUCCAGUCAAUGUCUUUGCGCAGUUUUUUGCUGCAAAGUUGGAGCACUGUGCUGGUUUUGUUGGAAAGAAGAUUCAAGUGUCAAGGUGGCAUAAGCGGUUAGGACAUCCAUCAGAGGAGGUGCUUGCUGUAAUGCUGCAGAAGUUUAAUAAUAGUGUCAAAGUAGAUAGUUGUGAGUCCAUAUGUUCUUCUUGUAUGAGUGGUAAAAUGAGAAGACAGUCAUUUCCAGUAAGACAAAAUACUGCUACAUGUUUGUUUGAGAAAGUUCAUACUGAUGUAUGGGGGCCAUCUCCAAAGGUGUCUGUACAGGGUUAUAGAUACUAUGUGAGUUUUGUAGAUGAAUAUUCACGAUUUUUGUGGAUUUUUCCAAUGAAUAACAAGUCUGAAGUGUUUUCUGUAUUUGUUAAGUUUUGUGCUUUUAUACAAACUCAAUUCAGUGCUUCACUUAAGUGCUUACAAUCUGAUGGAGGUGGAGAGUAUACAAGUAGAAUGUUUGUUGAUUUUUUGGAUACAAAGGGUAUAAAACACAUGAUUUCGUGUCCUUAUACCCCUCAGCAAAAUGGACUUGCUGAGAGGAAACACAGACAUGUGGUUGAGACUGCAGUGACACUCAUGACAGAAGCAAAGUUACCAGCUCAAUUUUGGUUUCAUGCCUGUUCACAUGCUGCAUUUCUAAUAAACAGAAUGCCAUGUAGUAUAUUGCAUAUGAAAUCACCAUAUCAGGUGUUAGUUGGACAAGAACCUGAUGUUCAAACUCUGAAGAUUUUUGGGUCUGCAGUGUAUCCAUUCAUGAGGCCUUAUAAUGCAAAUAAACUUGAACCAAGAACAACUCAAUGUGUAUUUCUGGGAUAUAUGAUGGGAUAUAAGGGAGUAGUGUGUUAUAACAUUGGUUCAGGGAAAUUAAUUCUUUCUAGACAUGUUGUACAUGAUGAAGAGAUAUUUCCUUAUCAGAAUAUACAAGUGUCAAAGAUAUCACAGUCUAGUUCUUCAUCUUUCCAGAAUUCAAGGCCUAUUGCGAUUCAAUUACCAAGGGAUACGAUUACUCCAUCUUCAGUACAUCAACAUAGAGGAUCUGCACAAGCUAUAGAAGUCAUUUCACAUGUUCAAGGCUCAGAUCUAGUAGCUUCAGUAAAUUCUGAUAUGGUAGUAUCUCCAUCUUCAGAGUCUGCAGUCAGUCCGCCUUCUGAUAAUCCGGUUACAUCUUCUCACCAUCAUGUUUCAAGUCCACCAGAUUCAAGGUUACCACUUUCUCAAGCAAUUGUCUCACAUGAUAUUCAAGCACAGAAUGGUAAUGAACAUUCAAUGGUGACAAGGUUGAAGUCUGGUGCUAUCCUAAGAAAAAAUUAUGCAGCUUUAACUGCAACAUUUCCAGAGUUAAACACUUUGCAGAUAACAAAUGAUGAUCCUUUUGUGGGAGGUUUCUCCUUUAUUUCAGAGAUUGCAGAUUCAUUAGAACCUACAUGCUUUAGACAAGCAGCAUCUUUUUCACAUUGGCAACAUGCAAUGCAAGAGGAGUAUGAUUCACUUCGACUUCAAGGUACUUGGACUUUAGUACCUGCACCAAAUCACAGAUCAAUAAUAGGAAGCAAAUGGGUGUAUAAGGUGAAAAGAAAUCCUGAUGGCACUGUAUCAAGGUAUAAAGCAAGACUAGUUGCUCAAGGGUUUUCUCAAGAGCAUGGUGUAGAUUAUUCAGAUACUUUUAGUCCAGUUGUGAGACAUACAACUGUAAGACUCAUUCUUACUUUGGCUGCAAUGAAUAAAUGGGAAUUGAAACAACUUGAUGUCAAGAAUGCAUUUCUGCAUGGUGAGUUACAAGAAGAAGUUUAUAUGAAACAGCCACAAGGUUUUGUUGAUUCAAGUCAUCCCGAUUAUGUAUGCAAACUUCUUAAGUCACUAUAUGGACUCAAACAAGCCCCAAGGGCUUGGAAUUCAAAAUUUACAAGCUACUUGGUGACAAUGGGGUUUACUGCAUCAGUAUCUGAUACCAGUUUGUUUAUUAAAACUGAUAACAAUGAUAUCAUCAUACUAUUGCUCUAUGUUGAUGAUAUAAUAUUGACUGGAUCAUGUGUGACUAAAGUACAACUCGUAGUUCAAGAACUCUCCUCUGUGUUUGACUUGAAGGAUUUGGGGAAGCUGACAUAUUUCCUUGGUUUACAGAUUCAAUAUAAACCAAAUGGAGAUAUUUUUGUAAAUCAGUCCAAAUACAUAAAGGAUUUACUUCAUAAGGCAGGUAUGGAUUCUUGCAAGCCUGCUAAUACACCAUGUAAACCACACAAUCAAAUGAUAAUGACAGAAGGAGAGUUACUUUCAGAUCCGAGUUCAUACAGAAGCAUUGUUGGUUCCUUGCAGUAUCUUACGUUUACUAGACCGGAUAUUGCGUUUGCUGUGAAUACAGUUUGUCAACACAUGCAUUCACCAACUGAAGUUCAUUUUGGUGCUGUAAAACGGAUUCUUCGAUACCUUCAUGGUACAAUGCAACAUGGCAUAGUCUAUUCUUCACAGUCACAGAUGAAUCUCACGGCUUUUUCUGAUUCUGAUUGGGCUGCAGAUCUUAAUACCAGAAGAUCAGUAACUGGAUAUAUUGUUUUUCUUGGAGACAAUCCUAUUUCGUGGCAAUCAAAGAAACAAACUUCAGUAUCCAGAAGUUCUACAGAAGCUGAAUACAAAGCCCUUGCUCAUACAGCUGCUGAUCUAGCUUGGGUUAGACACAUUUUGAGAGAUUUGAAGUGUGUUUUACUUCAACCACCUGUUAUUAAUUGUGAUAACAUGUCAGCUAUUGCAUUAAGUUCGAAUCCAGUGUUCCACUCCAGAAUCAAACACUUGGAUACCGAUUAUCAUUUUGUAAGGGAGAGGGUACAACAAGGCGAUCUUGCUGUGGCAUAUGUUCCUACUGAUGAGCAAACUGCCGAUGUUCUAACAAAGGGUCUUCACAGUCCUGCAUUUAUCAGACAUUGCUACAAUCUGAAGCUUGGGACCCCAAGCUUAGAUUGAGGGGGGAUGUUGACAGUAGCAACAGCUGGCAAUGCCACAUCAGCUUAACUAAUAGACUAUUGGUGGUUAUGUUGGUUAGAAAUGUUAUAACUAACUGAUAUAGUUACUGAAGUUACUGAUGUAAAUCUUGCAAUCUAUAUAAGAUGAGAUAGCAUUACUGUAAUCUUUAAUUCAGAUCAAUACAAAAGUUUCUUUCUCUAAAACAUUCAUUCUCUCUCUAGAACUCUUCUUUCUUCUCCUUUUCUUGUUCGAGUAUUCAUUGUAGAUUAGGAUUUCUGUAUACGUUAACACCAUACAUACAUACAUAAUCAACAUCAGUGUGGAUGUAGCCCAAACAUUGGGCUGAACCACAAUAUAUCUUUGUGUUCUUGUGCGUUUAUGUGAUUCAUGGUCAGAUUUACGUUGGUCCAAGAUCCUCCAGAUUUUUUGCAUCAACACUUAAAAACUAGAACUUGCUCGUUAACAAACAUAAAACAGUUAAAUAUCAAAGUGCGCAAUAAACAAGACUACAAAAUCAUAAGAAUAUGGAUAAUGCUAGGGAAACCAAAUUUUUUAAACCACAUUUGCAAACCAAAUGAUGUGAUUGUUGAUUAUUGGAUUAUUACUUAAGCGUUGAUUAAUGUGCUUAUUUCAUAUUAGGCUUGGGCCGAAAUAGGAUUAAGCUUAGGAUCUUCAAGUCAUUGGGAGGCACCAGGAAACGAACAUGUGGUCCUGUUGACCUUAAAAACUACCGAGCCUACGUGGCACGCAGGUCGAAUAAUCUAUGAGCUAACUACGUCAUUCGGUUGUGUGCGGGGUGUGCCAACUGGUCGGCCGAGCUUGGCUGAGGAGUAAAAUAUAUUGAUGUUGCGUUAGGUGCGCGACUGACUUCUGCGUCUUGCGAUUGCGACCGAGGAAGGAACUUGUCUCUGCUUUCGGGUUCUAGAGCUUGAAGACAAGGCUGCUAACUUAGCGAAGUUCAAUAUUAAAUUCGACUUCCAAUGUGCCAAAUGUAGUAACUUGUAACACCUCACUUCACCGAGAAGGCUCAUGAGAUGACCUCGACCAACAAGGAUUCGGAAAUCCUUCUCGACCGAGACUAGGAUAGGUAACCAGUUGGCCUCGACGCAGUGCUGUUUAUGCCAACUGAAGAUGCUGCGAGAUUGGCUGAUUCUACGAUGCCAAUGCUGUUUAUGCCAACUGAAGAUGUGUUGGCGAAAAAGAAAAGAAAAAAUCUCAAGGUUAUUGAGAGAAUUUGCACAGGGCAGUUGUGUGUUGAAUUGGAUGGGGUUUUUGAAUGGUGCACCCCCUCUGUAUUUAUAAGGACAUACGCGUGUUGGUUGGUAAGCUGAUAUAGGCUUUUGCCAUGUACUAGAACUCUUCCACCAAUUGCAUCAGAUAAGCCUUAUAUUCCCAAGACUCUCAACUCAGUCAAAAAUGCAACCAAAUUCAAUCUUUAUGCUCAACCUUAUCACAUCAAAUCCCAAGAUAUCCUGCACGUUUGGAUUGGUUCAAAUAAUGCUCUCAUCAAAAUAACCACCAUUAUAUAUAUAUAUAUAUAUAUAGUCUGGGAGAUUUUUGCACGGCAUAGGCUGAUGGGCAUGCAGACUAUACAACCUACAUAUAUAUAACUUGUAGCUUUUCACACAACAUGUAAGUCUUCCAUCAUCUGACAACAUCCUAGCCCACUUAGGCCUCGUUUGGCACGCUGUAUAAAGGACCGGAUAGUAUUAGUAGUACGGUAUCAGCCGUUUGGUGUUCCAACGUACUAAUUAAGCACCGGAUAAACAAAACCGGUCCCACCACUUUAAUCCCCCUCACACCCGCUAAUUUAUACACUCCAAUACCUCCGUAUAAUUUAGUCGGGUCUUUCUUUCUCCAACCUCUCUGUUCCUGCGCAUCACCAAAUCCUCAUCCAAGUUUCCUUCUCUCCCUUUCUCCAUCCCCACCUCCGAUCAACAUCAAGCACAUAUAAACAGAAAAUCAGAGGUGGUGUAUUAAACCCAGGCCAUGGCGUCCCUAUUCAGACAUCCAUGAUGGCAGAUCGAACUAGAAUCGGAGAGAUGCUAUCUGGGUUUUUUGGCCUGAUGGAGGAGGUUGAAUUCCAAAAAAAUCACCUCAUAUCUCUGUGUUUCAGAUUUGAAAUUUAACCGGAAAGAUAGAGCUGUUGAAGGUGAUUAUGGUGGUGACGAAUCAAUGCGCCGCGAUGAGCAAUUUAUUUUUUCAAAUUAGGUUGUGCUCUAAUUUGAUACUUUUUCAUUUGAUUCUUAUCGUGAAGAUGAGAUUUGAAAAGCAUGUGGAUUAGGUUUUGCUCUAAUUUGGGGCUUUUUCAUUUGCUUCUUAUCGUGAAGAUAGGAUUUAAAAUCAUGGAUUUCUAGAUAAUUACAUUGAAUUUAUAUAAUUAGGUUUCUAAUAUAUAAUCUGUAUCUAUAAAAUUGGAUAGAAGGAUCAAUUUCAUCUUUAUACUCAUCAAUUGCCAUCCUUACUUAUAAUCAGUGGUUUUUUUUUUUUUUUUUAAUCCGGCUCAGUACCAACAGAGUAUAAAUAAUACAGUCAUUAGUCCGAUAUUCACCAAACGCCCGACUAAUUUAGUCAGUACUAUCCGGUGACUAUUUAUCCUAUCCGACUGAAAUAGUCAGUACAGUCCGAGCUGCCAAACGAGGCCUUAGGUCUCCUAUCCAACGUUAUCUUCGGCUUGCAGAUCCAUGUUAGGCCAAGUGAAGAGUCCAAGAAUCUCUAUAAUUUAUUUUGUACAAGAAAACUAAGAUAAUUUAUUAAAAGAUAAUUAUUAUGAUUAAAAACCAUAAUAUUAUCUCUUAACAAUAGCAAAUUAUCUUAACUUUCUUAUUCGACGAUUAAGAACCAUGUUUACUCAACGGCCUCGAUUGCUUGGGCCGAUGGCGUAAAAUCGUGUCCAAACAUUGCCCCCUAGUUUCCUUGAGCUUCGACUCAUAAACCGAAUGGUUAAGGAAAUUAACUAUUCGUAGCCGACAACAUUUCGUCGUAUUUUCGAAACAAAUUUUGUUCCUCGUUUGUCUCGGCAAUAACAUGUAUGUAAUGUCGUGAUAUCCUUAUGCUAAUUCACCGUUUGUCUCUGCCAUGCAUAUGCAUGCAUUCUACUUUAACAUCUGAUGGGUUCAGGUCGAGAGUACAAUAAGGUCGAGAAGAACUGGGCCCAUGAUUGAUAAAACCCGUUCCUGAAGCUCGGCCUGCCUAUAAAUACAAAUCUAUAAAAGUAGCAUGAUUGUCUGAUGUGACCUGCCAGCCAUGCAGUUUCCAUAUAUAUAAACGGGAUCCUGGCCGAGCACACACAUUUAUAAAAUGAACCUGUGCCGAGCACCAGUCCACCGAGCUCGGCAUGUGUGAUCCCACCCUUUUCUUCUCGGUAGUGGCAUCUUGAUGUAAGCCAUAAACCCAAAUCCUGACAUGAUGUCGUCUGCCAUGCUGCCAUGCACAUCUCCAUCACGUCUUUCAUUCCAUUUUUUAUACUCGACCAACUAAUAUAUAUAUAUAUAUAUAUUUGAAUUGCCUUCCUCGGCCAACUAAUUUUCAUUUUCCUCGGCCAAUUGAUAUAUACAUAUUUGGAUUGCCGCACUGUUGUCGCCCCUUUAAUUUCUUAUGCAUCAACUUAAUUAGCCAGAUGAUUAAGAAAAUAAUUUAUCUUUUUUCGUAAUAAAAGAAAACGAAAGUGGACCGAACUAAUAAAGAGGAUGAGGCCAACGGUGUUUUAUCCCAAGCUGAUAUCUGUUUAUAUCAAAAAUUUCAAAUUGAUUUCGCUCUAGGCCAAAUAAAGAAUUUUUUCCAAAUAUUUUUGACUUGGUGAAAUAUUUUUCAUUUUCGGUCGCCGAAUGUUUUGAACAAUUAUUAUGCCCCCUAGGCAUAAUUACUUCACCAAUUUCGGCUUUCAACUCGAACAACUUAGUCAAACGGGAUUUCUCCUUAUCGACUUUAUCACCAAUAAUCAUAUCGAUUGGCGUGGUUUUUUCGGCUAGGCCUACGUCUCGACCUUGUUCGUCAUUAAAGCACUUCUCUGACGAAUCAUUUUCUGGGUUAACUUUUGGCUCAAAAACUUGAACUCUUGCUUCUAGGCCUACCACACUUUCAGUCUCGAUCGAGACAACAGGUGGCCUAGGUUUUUCUUCGGCCAUCUUGACAAUCUUCUUAGGCCGAAUGUUGGUUGUGGCCAGAGCGAAAAAUUGCCCCUCGAUUUUUUCAACCAACCAUUCAUCAAAUGGAAUUUAUUUGUAGUCGAAAACGUAAGGAAAAUGUUCUCUAUCCAGCCAGGCAUUAAAUCGAGCCCUGUCUUCAUUUACCUAUUGCUCUUGGAGGGUAAUAGGAGCUUUUAUUCUCAAGAUACGAGCGAAUGACAUUUGCAUCUCUUUAUGGCCACAAAGAACUUUUCCCAAUUCCAAAGAUCUUUUCAUUUCCUCAUUGUGUUUUUUCAAUUGUUCUAGGAGCUCGUGCAAUCGGUUAAAUGGAGCCGAAUCGACAUCUUGAUCUAUCAUGUGAACUUCGUAGUUUUAGCAUUGGGUCCCACUGGGCGUGCCAAAAUGUUGAUCCUAAAAACUAUCAAGCCUACAUGGCACGCAGGCCGAGUAAUCUAUAAGCUAACUACGUCAUUCGGUUAUGUGCGGGGCAUACCAACUCGUUGGCCGAGAAGUAAAAUAUGUUGAUGUUGCAUUGGAUACGCGGCUGACUUUUGCAUCUUACGAUUGCGGCCGAGGAAGGAACUUGUCUCGGCCUUCGGGUUCUAGAGCCUGAAGACAAGGCUGCUAACUUAGCGAAGUUCAAUAUCAAAUUCAACUUCCAAUGUGCCGAAUGUAGUAACUCGUAACACCUCACUUCGACGAGAAGGCUGAUGAGAUGACCUCGACCAACAAGGAUUCGAAAAUCCUUCUCGACCGAGACUUGGAUAGGUAACCAGUCGGCCUCAAUGCAGUGCUGUUUAUGCCAACUGAAGAUACUGCGAGAUCGGCUGAUUCUACGGCGACAGUGCUGUUUAUGCUAACGGAAGAUAUCACUGGUUGCCUCCACAGUGCUGUUUAUGCCAAUUGAAGAUGUGUCGGCGAAAAAGAAAAGAAAAAAUCUCAAGGUUGUUGAGAGAAUUUGUGCAGGGCAGUUGUGUGUUGAAUUGGAGGUGGCUUUUGAAUGGUGCACCCCUUCUGUAUUUAUAGGGACAUACGCGCGUUGGUUGAUAAGCUGAUAUAGGCUUUUGCCAUGUACUAGAACUCUUCCACCAAUUGCGUCAGAUAAGCCUUAUAUUCCUAAGACUUUCAACUCAGUAAAAAUGCAACCAAAUUCAAUCUUUGUGCUCAGCCUUAUCACAUCAAAUCCCAAGAUAUCCUGCACACUUGGAUUGGUUCAAAUAAUGCUCUCAUCAAAAUAACCACCAUUAUAUAUAUAGUCUGAGAGAUUUUUGCACGGCAUAGGUUGAUGGGCAUGCAGACUAUACAGCCUACAUAUAUAUAACUUGUAGCUUUUCACACUGCAUGAAAGUCUUCCAUCAUCUGACAACAUCCUAGCCUGCUUAGGUCUCCUAUCUAAUAUUAUCUUUGGCUUGCAGAUCCAUGUUAGGCCAAGUGAAGAGUCCAAGAAUCUCUAUAAUUUAUUUUGUACAAGAAAACUAAGAUAAUUUAUUAAAAGAUAAUUAUUAUGAUUAAAAACCAUAAUAUUAUCUCUUAACAAUAGCAAAUUAUCUUAACUUUCUUAUCUGACGAUUAAAAAUCAUGUUUACUCAACGGCCUUAAUUGCUUGGGCCGAUGGCGUAAAAUAGAGUCCAAACAGGUCCAUGGAAGGAUCUUCGAACGAGUAUGCCAUUCCACAUGUAAUGGUGUGCUACCUUCAUUUGGAGCUUUCUCGACUUCGGCUUAUCUUCUGGGAGUGCUCCAUUGACUAGGUAGUCACUGAUAAGAUCUCUUUUCAACUUAGGAUUAUGUUGAUUUGUGCCACCUCUACUACUGGUUUCGUGUUUGUGCUCGGCUUCUCCAGGCACUCGAUUGGAAUGAAGUGUCUGAGUUGGUGGUUAAGAGUAUAGCCUAAACCUACUAGUGUGUCUUUGUGGGCAUUCUUUGCUAGUGGAAUCUGCUCAAUGGAAUCAAUCGAAAACGCUGUGAGCUGUUCCCGUACCUUUUUUAGUUAUUGCGCCAUCAUUAGAUGUUUUGUCGUGUGUUCCCAUAAGGCCUGAUUUAUGAUCAGCUAAGAAUUUGAUGGAUUGCUAGCUUCUUCACCGCUCAGUCUUUUGCUAGUUGAAGGUUGCUAGUAAUGCCUCUUAUUAUGCUUCGUCGUUGGAUGCUUUGAAGCUUAGAAUGUCGUGGGCCUGAUCGACGCGUCUUGGAGCCACGAAGCCUGAGUUAGCAUUUCGGGGAGCCACCUUGGGGGAUCGGUAGGGUUGAGAUCCAUAGUGCAAGAUCGAUGUGGCUAGGGGUUGCGAAGAUGUUGUCGACAUAGGUUGGGUUGCAUACAACAGGAGCAAUGGGUCCUCGAUGCUUGACUGCCGGCACUAGGUUGCUCAGGUGAGUUGCGCACAACAGGAAGAAACGUGGCACUAGGUCCGUGGCGUUAGGUUGCUCUCGGAUUGAGUUGCGCGCAAUAGGAGGAGUUGGACCACUAGGUUAUAUAAAUUUUUUGCUCUCAAAUAUCACAAAAUCCACACUUUAAUGAAAUCUUACAAAAUCUUUAUAUAUUUUUUCUGGUAAACGACGUUUUGACCCCUUAAACUAUUACUCUAAAAUUGACCUCUUGAACUAUUUUUUUGGUACAUUAAUCCCCUAAAAUAUUUAAAAUUAGUCAAUUAACCCCUUGCUGUUAGAUUUCAUCCACUAUUCCGUCAAAUUCAAGGACAAAUAGGUAUUUUUAUCAUCAAUCUUUUUUAUCUGCAUAUGCGCUUCUAGUAUCAUUUUCACAACCUUCAUCAUCUGCACCAUAAUUUACUAUUAGAUCAAAUCCAAACAACCAUCAUCUUGCAUAUUUGAGAAAUCAAAAUCAUCAAAAGUCAUACAACAAUCAUCAAUCGUAUUUGAGAAAUCAAAAUCAUCAAAAGUCAUACAACAAUCAUCAUGCGUAUUUGAGAAAUCAAAAUCAAAAUCACACUUGUUUUUCCAUUGCAUAGUUCCACCCAUGUAAAACCCAUCCACAAAGUUAUUAACAGAAAUGCAGAAAAACACAGAAAUGCAGAAAGAGCAUGUAUCGAAGAAGAAAAGAGAGAAGGGAAUAAGAGAAAGAGAGAAAGUAAUUGAUUACAUUGAUACUAAAUUCAUCUUUACAACUAUGAGAAUACAGUUUAUAUAGCCAUCAUGACUAGCUUGCAGCUUAAGCUAUUUAACUAACUAAUUCGAUAACAACUCUAACAACCUUUCAACACGUGUAUAUUGCCAACAUCCCCCCUCAAUCUCAACUGGGACUUCCCAGUUUGAGAUUGAAGCAGACCAAUCAAUGGAGCCAAGUAAAAGUAACCCAAUUUCCCAUGUUUAGGUAUGCUAAUCUUCCAAAAGCUGAAAGCAGUAUUCAAAGUACUUUUGUCAGACAUCAGCAACUUCUCUGCUUCAAAUGAGUAUCUUCCCUGCUUCAAAUGUUAUCAACCUUGAAUUACUAAUCAAUAUUUCAACAAGAACUGCACUCCGGCAAUCAGCCUUAAUGGAGGUGCACACAAUAACAACAAAACAAGACAUUUCAAGAACUUUACUCUGGCUAUCAGCUUUUAAGGAGUAACACACAAAAUCUGAGACAGAACUUUUCACUCCGGCUAUCGGCCUUGUGGAGGAAACAAACAACUUACACAGAGAUAAUGGCUUUGGCCUUAUAUGCCAAAUCUAACCACUCAAGCAAUCUUCAAAAAUUACAACAAUUCCAAGAAUACACACUAUGGGCUAUCGGCCUUAUUCGUGUGAAAAAACUCAACAAAUACUCAAACAAAAAGCAACGGCUAUCGGCCUUUAUGCUUUGACAGAAAUACUUCACCAAUCAUCCAAUCACGAAACCAACUUUCAGAUAGCUUUAUACUCCGGCAAUCGGCCUUAAGGGAGUACAACAUACAAUCACAGAGAAAUGGCUAUUGGCCUAAAAAAUUGUCACACACUCCAACCACAAUGAAGAAAUUGAGAAUACGGCUACCGACCUUGAAAAAGUAAGUACGCGGCUAUCGGCCUUGAUACUUACAAGAUGCAUAGAAAAAUCUUCACUCAGACAUUAACACAAACAGUUCACAUGCUAAAUUGAGGAGUACUCGAAACAGCACCUGAUGACUCGAAUCUCGAUCUCCCAAAAGCCAAAAGCUCAUCAAUCCACCAGAAUUUGAAACAUUGCUUGAAAACAUACAUGGUUUAAAGGCAGGCAAUUCUGUUCAGAUUCCAGUAUAUGAUUUCAAGACUAGCUCCCGCAUAGCACACAUGAGGGUAGAGGUCCCUAGCUCCUGUAUUGUGAUCAUUGAGGGCAUAUAUGCUUUAAGUGAGAAAUUUCAGCCUUUGCUAGAUCUUUUUCGUAUCUAUAACUGGUGGAGAUGAAGAAACUUCGAUCAGAGCUCCCCAAGAAAUCUCCAGUUCUUUUAAUCUUCAGCGGAAGAAAUGGCACCGAGGAAUAAAACCCCCUUCGGCAAUCGGCCUUUGCUCUGUUGAAAUACCAUCAUUCGCGCACCAAGAACAGAAAAUCACCCAAAUUGAGCAGAGCAACGACAAAUCAUGUAGCGGAAGAGCAACAAAUCACCAUGGACCCACCUCCGACGAUGAUACCAUAUUAACAGAAAUGCAGAAAGAGCAUGUAUCGAAGAAGAAAAGAGAGAAGGGAAUAAGAGAAAGAGAGAAAGUAAUUGAUUACAUUGAUACUGAAUUCAUCUAUACAACUAUGAGAAUACAGUUUAUAUAGCCAUCAUGACUAGCUUGCAGCCUAAGCUAUUUAACUAACAAAUUCGAUAACAACUCUAACAACCUUUCGGCACUUGGAUAUUGCCAACAAAAGUAACCCCAUGGUGAAUCAAAUCCUUUGUACGAAUCCAAUCCUUCACUUCGCCCAAAAUCUUGCCAAAAAAAUAAAAAAUAAAAAAUAAACUCCGAAGCUGUUAGGGGUUGAAUAUUUCAAAAAUAUAUAAUAUAUGUGUGUGUGUGGUUGAAUAUUUCAAAAAUAUAUAACAUAUAUAUGUGUGUGUGUGUGCGCGCACGUGUGUUUUGUAUUGGCAGAGAAUAAUUUUCCGUUAUUGCCCAACAAUCAUCUAUCUUCAAAUUAACCACCAGAUCUUUUUCAUGUUUCCCGAAAAAACAUGAUUUAUGGUCAACAAGUGUAUUCCUUCUCCUAGGAAAUAUGACAUUUAGGUAAUUAGUGUUCUCUGUCAGGUAUACCCAUCGAAAUGCUAUGCCUUUUGGAUAGUGCUUUGUAUAUGUUUAAACAUACAUGAUUUUUUUUUUUUUUUUUGUCAAAUGUUUAAACGAACAUGAUCACUUUGAACCAAUAUGACUUCAAAAGUUAUGUACUUUUGAUUAACUUGAACAGAUACAAUUCUCUCUAUAUAUUAAUAACAUUGGAAAAAGAAAAUAUUUAUUCAAAAAUUUGUUGUCUGCUUUUUUUUUCUCUCUCCAUCACAUUGAUACAAUUUCUUUCUAAUUAUUUCUAAGUGAAUAUAAUUUGGUUUUGCUAAUCGUAUAUUUCAUAUUUUGUUGUAUUGAAGAGAUUUGCCAACAACCCUUUAACAAAUUCAUUUGAGUGGGGACAAAUAACACUUUAAGGAAGUGACAUAAGUCAAAACUCAAAAUCAUCUUUAAAUUAUUCUUUAUAUUACUACAUUUACUCUAACAUUAGGAGUCAAUCGUAGAGAGGAAGAAAAGUAAGAGUAAAAGAGAAAGUGCAAGAAAAAGCUAAAUUCAUUUCCUAACCAAAAGGAGAUACACUGGACGCUUAUAUCUCCAUUAUAGCCAAAACAGACAAAAGUACAAUAAAUAUUAGGUAACAACCAUUACAAAUAUCAUAAAGGAUAACAAAGAUAAAGUAGCAAGGUCUAUCGUAGGUCCUAACACAACGAGUCAUGAUAAGGUUCUAACAGAAGCCCUAACUUUGAAUUCCAAAAGUAAAGCAGCACUGGGGUUCCCCCGGCCGGAAGGGGGAAGCAGCAUUGGGGUUCCCCCGCAACGGCCGGGGCCGGGGUGGGGGGGGGAAUUGAAGGAAAUUUUCUGAAAAACAUGUUCAUUUGAGCAACAUCUAUGGCAUGCAAUUAACAUUUAAAGGCGGAAUCAUGCUUGUAUGCACUCAAAACAAAACAUUACCCAUGAAAUUCAAAGCCUAGUAGAAAGGUGAACCAAGACUCAACUCAAGAACAAAGUGAGUUGAGAUAUUUUAUACCUUUGUUGAUUCCUCUUUGCAUAAGCAAAGGCUAAUCACCCAAGGAGAGGGCCUUCAUUCCUUGCUACUUAGUUCCAUCGAUUUCUUGGAGGACGAUGGUAGAAAGGAUUCUCCAAGUUUUCAAAAUUGAGAACCUCUAAUUUUUCCACACUAAGGAAGGACUUGAAGAAGAGAUGAGUGACCUUGGAGGAUCAGAGAUUGCUAGCUAAUCUCCUCCAAGGGGGCCGGCCUCUUAGAGAGAAAAUGAGAGCAUUGUGUUCUCAUCCUUUCCCUAAAAGAAAACCCUAAGGAUGAAAUGGCUAUAAAGUUGCCUUUAUACCACCUCACAAUGGAGUGGCAAACUUGCAAUUAAAGCAAGUUCACUACCCUCCUCUAUUUGGCCGGCCUUAAGGGUUUAUUGGGCUUUCAAGCCCUUUGUUUAUUCAAGUUGUCAUACAAGUUGAGUUAAUGGGCUUGACAUUCAAAUCCCAUUGAGCCUUGCGGCCCAAAACUAACCCGAGAUCUUUAACGAACUUUAUUGUUUGAUUAAUUAACAUAUUAAUUAAUCCUUGCCAUAAAUAAUUAAACCAUUUAAUUAUCCUUACUCAUCUCCGUUGUUUCUUCAAUCUCUACCUUACACGGUGUACGAUCCAUUAGGUUCCUUUUAGCGAGGCAGUGGGCGAUUAGAACUCUUUCAAAUCGAUUGUGAAUUGAAACUUAUUUUCAAUUCUCCCUUUAGUGAUUAUACACGUUUAGGGCUUCCACAAACCAUGAGUGACACCUAGCAGUAUGUCAUGGUUACCCAAGCUAAUCAGAAAAGGUGGAACCUAUUCAGUUUAGGAUUACAAUGCAAUACAGUCUUUCUCUAAUACAAUACUUUUGACCACAUUGUUUGGUUUGACAGUUUAAUCAUGUCUACUAUCCAAUGUGAUUCAUUUACUUAUAUGAUUACCUUGAAUAUGAUUUGGAACGACUUCCUAAAUCUCAUUCAUACUCUGGCCAGAGAUUCUUAAUCAUAUCAUAGAGUAUUCUCCCUCAAACGGUUUGAAGGUUAGAGAUCCCUUGUUGCGCAUUCACUUGCCUCCAUGGCUAAGUGACUUAACCCCAACUAGGUCGUGGACACCCUCUGACAGAGUGACUUUAACAUAGUCAAAGAUCAAGGACCUAACCACAAGACAACUAUGAUGCCUCAGGUCAAAUGACUACUUUGCAUUAUCCUAACCAUGAGUUCUCAUGUGACAUGAGUAUGAGAACUCCUCGUUGAUCGUGUUCAGUGGACUCAUUCUCUAUUGAGCACCUACAUGCUUGUCUUGGUGUCAAUCACACCAAUGACUCGAGACCAGUCACUCUCCAUGAGAGAAGACACAACACGUACUGAUCUUAAUGGAUUGUCAAUGCCCAAUUGGCAAUCCUAUGAUCAGGAACGUUUAGGAUAUGUAUACGAAAGAGAAUGGUCUCAUGAAUCUAACUUCUUUAAAUUACAUUCUCCUAAUUACAUAUUCCUUGGACUUAUCGUUUAAGCAUAUAACAUUUAUAUGAGACGGCUUAAAACAAUAAUCUUUGUCCUUGAUAUUAAACUAGAUUAGUUUAACAUGUGAAAUGUCCGUAAAGUAUCAUCAUAUGAUUGGUUUUAGGGCACAUUUCCAACAAUCUCCCACUUGCACUAGAGCCCAUCAGUUUGGUCAUCAAUGAUGAUACCUCUUCUGUAGUCCUUUCAAAAAUGGCUGAGUAGUAGGCCUAGGCAAUGGAUAUCUAUAUGUUAUCUAUAGAAGCAACCUUGAGAAUAACGACGUCACCAUUAUACAUGAUUCUCAAUCAUGUGGUUCAGUCUCUCAUUUGAGUUCGGAUCUUGAUGAGACCGUGAUUCCUUGGCUUGAGCUAUCGCCCCAUUAGUGUCGUAAUGUCGGUACACUGGAGACACUUUCUGGUUAGAACCGAAUAGAGAGUUCAUAAAUGAACUUUCCCAUCCAAACAACAUUGUUGUAAGCUUUAUAUGGCAAUAUAUUUUGCAUUCAUAAUGGAACACACUAAAGUCAUUACUUUUAAUGUUUCCAUCCAAAUAUCUCUUUAGUCAUAAUAAAGAGAUAUCUGAUUAUCUCUUCAUUCAUAAUGAAGAAACAUCCAAUAAUGGAUUAGAUUCAUAAUCUAAUACAUUUACGCUUCCAUUACGGUACUCUAAUUCUUCCUCAUUCUUGAGGAAUCCAUCCUUUAUUAUUUCUCAAAUACAUAAGGAUUCACUUGAUAGUUGCCAUGGUUCUGAUCCUGGGCUUGCAUUGAUAUCAUCUUGUACCGAUCUUGGUACAACUCAUAUCAACGUUUUCAUACAAUAUGAAAUAUGUAAAUCACAUUUCUGCGUAUGCAUAAAGGAUUCUAUUUACGCAUUAUUUCUUUGGGAGUCAAAGGGUACGUUCCCUUUGAGAAGAGCUACCUCCUAGUCUCACUAGAGUUGUUCUUCUGAUUGAAGUUUAUCAUCAUAUGAGAAACUUCCUAGCAUCUUUUGUCUAUUAUUAGGGAUUGAUAUAAUCCAAUUAUAUCUUGAAAUCUAUCAUUGUAGAUGUCCAUCCCAUGUAUAUAGACUAUGUCUCCCAUAUCCAUUCCAUCUUUAUAGAAUGUUUAAAGUCAUAACUUUAACGAAGAAGUAUUCUUUUCAUUUCCAAAAUUAAUAUAUCAUAUAUGUGUUAAAUUUUAGGAACAUGAUUAACUCCCACUAAUAUUUGUAAACUUAGUAAACAAAAGAUUCAUUUACAUAUUUAUGAGAAAUCAAUUGAUUUGAUCUUUCUCUCAUAAGACGCUUAUAGCUCCCACUAGCUUGCCAAGAUCCAUGAUGGACGGAUCUCUAUAACUUACAUGUCGUGUGAUUCAUAGUUUUAGACAUAUAUUAUCAAGACUAUCUUAAUAAUGGUUUCGGAAACCCAUAUUAUGUCCAAACAUUGAAUCACCAUUUAGUUGUCGCUAGCAAUAUUCGAAUUAAUUGAAACCAAGACUACGUCAAAGAUGGUUUCUUCCAAGUCAACCAUUCUCUUUGAUUGUAGUCACCUUAAGCUAACAAUUAGCUAUGAAGGUUUCAUUAUUUCGGGUCAAAUGGUAUUUUACCAUUUCCUUGAGUAUAUGUCGUAUAUACACUCAAUGUAGUCAUAAGGAUUUUCAUUCUUAUUUCUUUCGAAUUAAGAGGUGUAACUCUAUGACAUAGUCAUAAAGUUCAAACCAUUCAACUUAGACAGUUUAUAAAUCCUUCUCGACUACCUUGGAGCUUGUGGUGUAGGAACUAGGUUGUUAUAUUUGUUGAUUAUCAUCUUGUCUCUCAAAGAACCCAUUCUUUGAGUUCUAUCUCUCGUUCAUUUGCGCUUAAGCAAAUCAUAUUGUAGGAUUACAAUGAACUACCCAACAAAACAACAUUUGUUAGUUGGUUUAUAGAAGUGAUACCCAAAGGUUAAUUUAAGGAUAUCCACAAGAUAAUUCUCAAACAAAUAUUGCUUAUUAGCACACAACCCCAA
Molecule: long non-coding RNA, 55998 nt
Filed under: Malus domestica (apple)
Lineage: Eukaryota; Viridiplantae; Streptophyta; Magnoliopsida; Rosales; Rosaceae
Description: long non-coding RNA (MDOM_LNC016724)
Source: RNAcentral